UUUUGACAAGUUCAAGGAGUUGACUACGAUGAGACCUUCUCAUUCGUAGUGAUGCUUAUGUCUGUCCGAAUCAUGUUAGCAAUUACCGCAUUUUAUGAUUAUGAAAUUUGGCAAAUGGAUGUCAAAACUACAUUCCUUAAUGGAUUUCUUAAAGAAGAGUUGUAUAUGAUGCAACUAGAAGGUUUUGUCGAUCCUAAAGGUGCUAAAAAGUGUGCAAGCUCCAGUGAUCCAUUUAUGGACUGGUGCAAGCCUCUCGGAGAUGGAAUAUACGCUUUGAUAGUGUGAUCAAAGCAUAUGGUUUUAUACAGAUUUUUAGAGAAGCCUGUAUUUACAAUAAAGUGAGUUGGAGCUCUGUAGCAUUUCUAAUAUUAUAUGUGGAUGACAUAUUGUUGAUUGGAAAUGAUACAAAAUUUAUGAAUAGCAUAAAGGAUACUUGAAUAAGAAUUUUUCGAUGAAAGACCUCGGUGAAGCUGCUUACAUAUUGGGCAUCAAGAUCUAUAGAGAUAGAUCAAGACGCUUAAUUGGACUUUAUCAAAGCACAUACCUUGAUAAGAUUUUGAAGAAGUUCAAAAUGGAUCAGUCAAAGAAAGGGUUCUUGCCUGUGUUACAAGGUGUGAAGUUGAGUGAGACUCAAUGUCCGACCACUGCAGUGAAGGAAAUAUGCCCUAGAGGCAAUAAUAAAGUUAUUAUUUAUUUCCUUAUAUCAUGAUAAAUGUUUAUUAUUCAUGCUAGAAUUGUAUUAACCGGAAACAUAAUACUUGUGUGAAUACAUAGACAAACAGAGUGUCACUACUAUGCCUCUACUGGACUAGUCGUUGAUCAAAGAUGGUUAUGUUUCCUAGCCAUUGACAUGAGUUGUCAUUUGAUUAACGGGAUCACAUCAUUAGGAGAAUGAUGUGAUUGACUUGACCCAUUCCACUAGCUUAGCACUCGAUCGUUUAGUAUGUUGCUAUUGCUUUCUUCAUGACUCAUACAUGUUCCUAUGACUAUGAGAUUAUGCAACUCCCGUUUACCGGAGGAACACUUUGUGUGCUACCAAACGUCACAACGUAACUGGGUGAUUAUAAAGGUGCUCUACAGGUGUCUCCGAAGGUACUUGUUGGGUUGGCGUAUUUCGAGAUUAGGAUUUGUCACUCCGAUUGUCAGAGAGGUAUCUCUGGGCCCACUCGGUAAUGCACAUCACUUAAGCCUUGCAAGCAUUGCAACUAAUGAGUUAGUUGCGGGAUGAUGUAUUACGGAACGAGUAAAGAGACUUGCCAGUAACGAGAUUGAACUAGGUAUUGAGAUACCGACGAUCGAAUCUCGGGCAAGUAACAUACCGAUGACAAAGGGAACAACGUAUGUUGUUAUGCGGUCUGACCGAUAAAGAUCUUCGUAGAAUAUGUGGGAGCCAAUAUGAGCAUCCAGGUUCCGCUAUUGGUUAUUGACCGGAGACAUGUCUCGGUCAUGUCUACAUAGUUCUCGAACCCGUAGGGUCUGCACGCUUAAAGUUUCGAUGACGGUUAUAUUAUGAGUUUAUGAGUUUUGAUGUACCAAAGGUUGUUCGGAGUCCCGGAUGUGAUCACGGGCAUGAUGAGGAGUCUCAAAAUGGUCGAGACAUGAAGAUUGAUAUAUAGGAAGCCUAUAUUUGGAUAUCGGAAGUGUUCCGGGUGAAAUCGGGAUUUUACCGGAGUACCGAGGGGUUACCGGAACCCCCCGAGGGCUUAAUGGGCCAUAGUGGGCCUUAGUGGGGAAUAGGAGAGGCGGCUAGGGCAGGGCCGCGCGCCCCUCCCCCUCUAGUCCGAAUAGGACAAGGAGAGGGGGAGGCGCCCCCCCCCCACCCCUUUCCUUCCUCUCUCCCUCCUCUUUCCCCCCUUCUCCUAAUCCAACAAGGAAGGGAGGGAGUCCUACUCCCGGUGGGAGUAGGACUCCUCCUGGCGCACCUCCUCCUGGCCGGCCGCACCUCCCCCCCCCCUUGCUCCUUUAUAUACGGGGGCAGGGGCACCCCAAAGACACAACAAUUGAUUAGUUGAUCUUUUAGCCGUGUGCGGUGCCCCCCUCCACCAUAGUCCACCUCAAUAAUACUGUAGUGGUGCUUAGGCGAAGCCCUGCGUCGGUAGAACAUCAUCAUCGUCACCACACCGUCGUGCUGACGAAACUCUCCCUCAACACUCGGCUGGAUCGGAGUUCGAGGGACGUCAUCGGGCUGAACGUGUGCUAAACUCGGAGGUCCCGUACGUUCGGUACUUGAUCGGUCGGAUCGUGAAGACGUACGACUACAUCAACCGCGUUGUGCUAACGCUUCCGCUUUUGGUCUACGAGGGUACGUAGACAACACUCUCCCCUCUCGUUGCUAUGCAUCACCAUGAUCUUGUGUGUGCGUAGGAAAUUUUUUGAAAUUACUACGUUCCCCAACAGUGGCAUCCGAGCCUGGUUUUAUGCGUAGAUGUCAUAUGCACGAGUAGAACACAAGUGAGUUGUGGGUGAUAUAAGUCAUACUGCUUACCAGCAUGUCAUACUUUGGUUCGGCGGUAUUGUUGGAUGAAGCGGCCCGGACCGACAUUACGCGUACGCUUACCGAGACUGGUUCUACCGACGUGCUUUGCACACAGGUGGCUGGCGGGUGUCAGUUUCUCCAACUUUAGUUGAACCGAGUGUGGCUACGCCCGGUCCUUGCGAAGGUUAAAACAGCACCAACUCGACAAACUAUCGUUGUGGUUUUGUUGCAUAGGUAAGAACGGUUCUUGCUCAGCCCGUAGCAGCCACGUAAUGCAACAACAAAGUAGAGGACGUCUAACUUGUUUUUGCAGGGCAUGUUGUCAUGUGAUAUGGUCAAAGCAUGAUGCUAAAUUUUAUUGUAUGAGAUGAUCAUGUUUUGUAACCGAGUUAUCGGCAACUGGCAGGAGCCAUAUGGUUGUCGCUUUAUUGUAUGCAAUGCAAUCGCCCUGUAAUGCUUUACUUUAUCACUAAGUGGUAGCGAUAGUCGUAGAAGCAUAAGAUUGGCGAGACGACAACGAUUCUACGAUGAAGAUCAAGGUGUCGCGCCGGUGACGAUGGUGAUCAUGACGGUGCUUCGGAGAUGGAGAUCACAAGCACAAGAUGAUGAUGGCCAUAUCAUAUCACUUAUAUUAAUUGCAUGUGAUGUUUAUCUUUUAUGCAUCUUAUCUUGCUUUGAUUGAUGGUAGCAUUAUAAGAUGAUCUCUCACUAAAUUUCAAGAUAAAAAGUGUUAUCCCUGAGUAUGCACCGUUGCCAAAGUUCGUCGUGCCCAGACACCACGUGAUGAUCGGGUGUGAUAAGCUCUACAUCCAUCUACAACGGGUGCAAGCCAGUUUUGCACACGCAGAAUACUCAGGUUAAACUUGAGGAGCCUAGCAUAUGCAGAUAUGGCCUCGGAACACUGAGACCGAAAGGUCGAAAUGAAUCAUAUAGUAGAUAUGAUCAACAUAGUGAUGUUCACCAUUGAAAGCUACUCCAUUUCACAUGAUGAUCGGUUAUGGUUUAGUUGAUAUCGAUCACGUGAUCACUUAGAGGAUUAGAGAGAUGUCUAUCUAAGUGGGAGUUCUUAAGUAAUAUGAUUAAUUGAACUUAAAUUUAUCAUGAACUUACUACCUGAUAGUAUCUUGCUUGUCUAUGUUGAUUUUAGAUAGAUGGCCCGUGCUGUCGUUCCGUUGAAUUUUAAUGCGUUCCUUGAGAAAGCUAAGUUGAAAGAUGAUGGUAGCAAUUACACGGACUGGGUCUGUAACUUGAGGAUUAUCCUCAUUGCUGCACAGAAGAAUUAUGUCCUGGAAGCACCGCUAGGUGCCAAACCUGCUGCAGGAGCAACACCAGAUGUUAUGAACGUCUGGCAAAGCAAAGCUGAUGACUACUCAAUAGUUCAGUGUGCCAUGCUUUACGGCUUAGAACCAGGACUUCAACGACGUUUUGAACGUCAUGGAGCAUAUGAGAAGUUCCAGGAGCUGAAGUUAAUAUUUCAAGCAGAUGCCCGGAUUGAGAGAUAUGAAGUCUCCAAUAAGUUUUACAGCUGCAAGAUGGAGGAGAAUAGUUCUGUUAGUGAAUAUACACUCAAAAUGUCUGGGUAUAACAAUCACUUGAUUCAACUAGGAGUUAAUCUUCCGGAUGAUAGCGUCAUCGACAGAAUUCUUCAAUCACUUCCACCAAGCUACAAGAGCUUCGUGAUGAACUAUAACAUGCAAGGGAUGGAUAAGACGAUUCCCGAGCUCUUCGCAAUGCUAAAGGCUGCGGAGGUAGAAAUCAAGAAGGAGCAUCAAGUGUUAAUGGUCAACAAGACCACCAGUUUCAAGAAGAAGGGCAAAGGGAGAAGAAGGGGAACUUCAAAAAGAACAGCAACCAAGUUGCUGCUCAAGAGAAGAAACCCAAGUCUGGACCUAAGCCUGAGACUGAGUGCUUCUACUGCAAGCAGACUGGUCACUGGAAGCGGAACUUCCCCAAGUAUUUGGCAGAUAAGAAGGAUGGCAAGGUGAACAAAGGUAUAUGUGAUAUACAUGUUAUUGAUGUGUACCUUACUAAUGUUCGCAGUAGCACCUGCGUAUUUGAUACUGGUUCUGUUGCUAAUAUUUGCAACUCGAAACAGGGGCUACGGAUUAAGCGAAGAUUGGCUAAGGACGAGGUGACGAUGCGCGUGGGAAAUGGUUCCAAAGUCGAUGUGAUCGCGGUCGGCAUGCUACCUCUACAUCUACCUUCGGGAUUAGUAUUAGACCUAAAUAAUUGUUAUUUGGUGCCAGCGUUGAGCAUGAACAUUAUAUCUGGAUCUUGUUUGAUGCGAGAUGGUUAUUCAUUUAAAUCAGAGAAUAAUGGUUGCUCUAUUUAUAUGAGUAAUAUCUUUUAUGGUCAUGCACCCUUGAAGAGUGGUAUAUUUUUUAUGAAUCUCGAUAGUAGUGAUACACAUAUUCAUAAUGUUCAAGCCAAAAGAUGCAGAGUUGAUAAUGAUAGUGCAACUUAUUUGUGGCACUGCCGUUUAGGUCAUAUCGGUGUAAAGCGCAUGAAGAAACUCCAUACUGAUGGACUUUUGGAACCACUUGAUUAUGAAUCACUUGGUACUUGCGAACCGUGCCUCAUGGGCAAGGUGACUAAAAUGCCGUUCUCCGGAACUAUGGAGCGAGCAACAGAUUUGUUGAAAAUCAUACAUACAGAUGUAUGUGGUCCAAUGAAUGUUGAGGCUCACGGCGGGUAUCGUUAUUUUCUCACCUUCACAGAUGAUUUAACAAGAUAUGGGUAUAUCUACUUAAUGAAACACAAGUCUGAAACAUUUGAAAAAUUCAAAGAAUUUCAUACUGAAGUUGAAAAUCAUCGUAACAAGAAAAUAAAGUUUCUACGAUCUAAUCGUGGAGGAGAAUAUUUGAGUUACGAGUUUGGUCUACAUUUGAAACAAUGCGGAAUAGUUUCGCAACUCACGCCACCCGGAACACCACAGCGUAAUGGUGUGUCCGAACAUCGUAAUCGUACUUUACUAGAUAUGGUGCGAUCUAUGAUGUCUCUUACUGAUUUACCGCUAUCGUUUUGGGGUUAUGCUUUAGAGACGGCUGCAUUCACGUUAAAUAGGGCACCAUCAAAAUCCGUUGAGACGACGCCUUAUGAAUUGUGGUUUGGCAAGAAACCAAAGUUGUCGUUUCUUAAAGUUUGGGGCUACGAUGCUUAUGUGAAAAAGCUUCAACCUGAUAAGCUCGGACCCAAAUCGGAGAAAUGUGUCUUCAUAGGAUACCCAAAGGAGACAGUUGGGUACACCUUCUAUCACAGAUCCGAAGGCAAGACAUUCGUUGCUAAGAAUGGAUCCUUUCUAGAGAAGGAGUUUCUCUCGAAAGAAGUGAGUGGGAGGAAAGUAGAACUUGAUGAGGUAACCGUACCUGCUCCCUUAUUGGAAAGUAGUUCAUCACAGAAACCGGUUCCUGUGACGUCUAUACCAAUUAGUGAGGAAGUUAAUGAUGAUGAUCAUGGAACUUCAGAUCAAGUUCUUACUGAACCUCGUAGGUCAACCAGAGUAAGAUCCGCAGCAGAGUGGUACGGUAAUCCUGUUCUGGAGGUUAUGUUACUAGACCAUGACGAACCUACGAACUAUGCAGAAGCAAUGGUGAGCCCAGAUUCCGCAAAAUGGCUUGAGGCCAUGAAAUCUGAGAUGGGAUCCAUGUAUGAGAACAAUGUGUGGACUUUGGUUGACUUGCCCGAUGAUCGGCAAGCCAUUGAGAAUAAAUGGAUCUUCAAGAAGAAGACUGACGAUGAAGGGAAUGUUACUGUAUAUUAAGCUUGACUUGUUGCGAAUGGUUUUCGACAAGUUCAAGGGAUUGACUACGAUGAGACCUUCUCACCCGUAGCGAUGCUUAAGUCUGUCCGAAUCAUGUUAGCAAUUGCCGCAUUUUAUGAUUAUGAAAUUUGGCAAAUGGAUGUAAAAACUGCAUUCCUGAAUGGAUUUCUGGAAGAAGAGUUGUAUAUGAUGCAGCUGGAAGGUUUUGUCGAUCCAAAGGGUGCUAACAAAGUGCGCAAGCUCCAGCGAUCCAUUUAUGGACUGGUGCGAGCCUCUCGGAGUUGGAAUAAACGCUUUGAUAGUGUGAUCAAAGCAUUUGGUUUUAUAUAGACUUUUGGAUGUGACACCCAAGUUUUUAUUUGGAUUUUUCAAAAGAUUUUUAUUUGACUUGAGGGAGGUGAUUUAAAUUUUUUUUAAAAGAACUCUCCCUUUCAAAUAUUUUUUUUAUGGCAAAAGUUUUAUUUGGAUUCACCCAAGAUCUGUCUUUGGUCUUGGAGGUUCUUGCUUUUCAUUUGGACUCAAGACAAAAUACUUUUCACUUGGGAAAAUGCCUUUUGAAAAGCUCUUUGAAAUUUGCACUAUGGCUUUUGGAAAAAUCCUUUACCACUUCCAACAUUUCCCUCUUGCCAUGGCCUUAGUGCACAUACUCUCUCCUAACCCUCCCCUCAUCUUUGGAUCAUGUUUGGCAUCUAAUCCAGCAAGUUGAACCUCCCCUAUGUUUAUUUUCCAUUUAAAUCUUAUUCAAAUAAAUUUCUGUCUUCUAUUCUAUCCAUUGGUGAUUUACAAAGGAACUCUACUUUCUGUUUUGAUUUUUGCCCCCAAACCAACUCUCCUCCCUAGUCCUUUGAACCCUCAACCAAGAUCCAGGAAGAUCCACUGGUCUUCAGUUCAAAAUUUUCAAACUACACUUGCUGCAAGUUUGGACCAGAUUUGUCAAAUUUGGUGAAAUUCAUUCAAAUCCUUUUCCAAAAAUUCCAAGUAAAAUCAGGCAGCCUCUGGGUGCAUUGAGUGGUCACCUCACCAAGUACCAGCUCCAGAAAAAAUUCUCAUUGCCAAAUCUUUCUGUCGAACACUUGCAGUGCAUUGUCAAAAUCAAGUUCAGAUAAUUCAGAGAACAGUCCAGUGGCUUACUGUCGUUUUCUUCAGAGAUGGUUGUCGAUCUCGCCAGUGCCAUUGUGUCGCCUUGCUCCUCGUCCCCUCCCCCUUGUUCCUGCACCGCACGAACGCCUGGCACCUUGCGGACGUCGGCGACGAGCAGCAGAAGGUGCGCCGCCCCGUGACCGACGCCAGCGGCGGCUUUGCGGCCGCCAGCGGGAGGCACGGCGCCACCCAGCGCCGCCCAAGCCACCGGAGCUCGCCGCGUGGCCUUCCACUCCCCCGAACGCGCUGCCACUCUCGUCGUGAACCGCAGGGCGCGGAGCGCGCUCUCUGCCGCCGUCGAGCCCGUGCGGCCAUCUCACCGUGGACCGACACCAUUACGCCAAGACCAACUCCGUUUAGCUGUGGAAUGACACCAGUAACCUCCACUGAUGCUGCCUGGCCACUCAAACCUCCUGCCAAUCCACUGCAUCGCCGUAAUCGCUCGCCGGAGAUUCUCCGUUCACGGCCACCCCGUCGAUCCGCCUAUAAAUAGAGGCCCCGAGCUUCAACUCGAGCACCCACCAUCCCUGCACUCCACCUAGAGCACGCCUAGCCACUGGAAGAGCCCCGAGGAGGUCUCCUUCCUCGACUCCGGCCGCCGCGACCCGCCACGGGAUCCAGCUCGAUUCGCCCUCGUGUGUGCACCUCCGCCUCCCUUCUCUUGCCAGUAGCCUCACUAUGCAUCCCUCCUUCUGACCCGUGCUUCAAUUCGAGGUUUGCAGCCCUCCACCGGAGUUCCCCACCAUCACCCGAGCCGCCGUCCGCCGGAGAUAGUGUCGCCGUCGACGUGGUGCUCCCCGUUGGUCGAGUCCACCACCCACCGACGCGGAAGAACACGCUGAAGCUCUUGGUACCCUCCGAUCCUCCUAACUCGCCGUGGUUCGACGCCGGCGUCCACCGCAGUCUUCGGGCGCCGGCGAGCUUUUCAAACCUGACAUGUGGACCCCGCUUGUCAGCCUCUAUUCUAUUCUUUCGCGAACCGUUUUCUGUUGGCGCCUUCGGGCAAAAUACGUUUUCUCUCUUGAGCUUGCGCAUUUCCAAUCGAACCGUUUUCUGUUUUCUCAGUUAAAACCCUGGAACUUUUCUGUUUCAUUACAGAUAAGUCCCUGGACAGAAACCUUUAUAACUUUUUAAUAAAAAGGGAUUUUUGAGUGAUUCUUUUUCUGAAAAUCUUCAAAUUUUGUCUAGUUUUUUAUGGGAUUUAUUGAAAAAUAUUUGGAGAAGUUUCUGUGCACCCUUUGGUUUUCACGUUAGUACCCGCUUUUCGUGAUUGCCGUAGGUUCCGGAAGAGGUGACGGAGCCGCGAACUUCGCCGAGCUAGACUCCGACUUCUCCGAACCAGGCAAGCAUGUUUGAACAUUUGAUGUGAUAAGUGUUUUUCAUGUUUGCUUGAAGGUUUGUGCGUGGCAUAUGAGUGUCGGUAAAUACCUCGUUGCUUGUAAGGCAACUACCCGCAUGUUCCAAAGUUGCGAUGAUCUCUGAUGAGAGAUGGCCUAAUCAUGUGGUGACAUGAAGGGCAGCAAGGUGGUACUGUUGUAGCAUACCAGCCUUGCGUCAUCCGACUUUCUCCGACGCUAACGUGGACGGAGUCACGUUAUCGUUCUUUUCCCCGCAUGUUCCAAAGUUGCGAUGAUCUCUGAUGAGAGAUGGCCAAAUCAUGUGGUGACAUGAAGGGCAGCAAGGUGGUACUGUUGUAGCAUACCAGCCUUGCGUCAUCCGACUUUCUCCGACGCUAACGUGGACGGAGUCACGUUAUCGUUCUUUCCCCCUUCUGUGCUACCACAUGUUUCAUUUGCCAGGAUGCGGUUUAGUAAGUUGGUAACCUCUUUCCGUGUACACACCAAACAGAGAGGCCGGGAUGAUGGUACCUUGGCCCAGGAUUAAAGCCAGUCAUCCGGUCAGGGGGCAUGGGUGUUUCCGGUUGGGACCGAGAGGGGGGGCACCCCCUUAGAGCGCGCGUAUAGAAAUUUGAUCCCAUGCUACGCGAGGUUGUAGCCUCCCCGUCUCAAGGUUUUUCUUGAACGUUGCCGAGGGUGAUCACUGGCUUCGGAAGGUUGAAUUGGGUGUGUACUGGUUAGACGUGUUUCUUCCAAAACACCGUAGACGGAACUAGUCCCCGUGACUACUGAAAUCCGUUGGCUGUGGUUAAGUACAAGCUCUGCAGAGUCAAUUCCUUCCAAGUCAUCGUAUCCAUGAUCAAGUAGUGUAAUCAGUAUAUCCAUAUCUAUCCGCAUGAAAAACUUGUCCCCGGUGAACAAGCCCAAGUGGUAAAUCCAGUUAAAUUAUUAUUCCUGUGGAUGGACUAACUUUAUAUUUGUCUCGUACUUGUGAUAAUUUAUGUUCCCGAACUAUUGUAUUAUUGAGCUACAAUAUAAGCCCUUUAUGUGACGUCGCGCAGACGUCCGACUGUGGCGUGUUUUUGUUCCUUACAUUAAAUAUAAGCCCUUUAGGUGAUGUCGCUCAGACGUCCGACUGUGGCAUGUUCGUCUUUUAUUUUCUGUUAUAAGCCCUUUAUGUGAUGUCGCUCAGACGUCCGACUGUGGCAUUAUUAUUAUUCUUGCAGUUUCCGCUCGAGGAGUCAUUUAGACACUCGCUUGGCACCAGUAUUACUAUUCUUGCAUUUUCCGCUCGAGGAGUCAUUCAGACACUCGCUUGGCACCAGUAUUACUAUUCUUGCAGUUUCCGCUCGAGGAGUCAUUCAGACACUCGUUUGGCACCAGUAUUACUAUUCUGCAGUUUCCGCUCGAGGCGUCAUUCAGACCCUCGCUUGGCACCCAGUAUUUAUUAUCUCUAUGUCUGAACGCACUGGAUAAAUUGUUCAUAUGCUUCAUGUUUACAUUUGUUAUAUCUUAUGUCCGAUCUGUCUUGCGAGUACUUUCAUAGUACUCACCUGGCUUGUUGAUUUGGCCAGAUGUUGACGAAGGCGAUCUCUUGGAUGAAGAGUUUGAUAGCGCGUCCGAUGCCUAGAGGAGUCCCAGUCAGUCCUGCGCGAUCCCGGAUAUUGGUCACUUGUAUUAUAUACGCUUCCGCCACCCGCAAUAAGUCUCCUCGAGCCUCACUCCGACGCUCGAAGAGCUGUAGUCUUCAGGAGUCAUAUCACUCGCUUCGUAGUGAUAUUUCCACCACCGUUAUCAUCGUGAGUUAGUAGUAUGCCACCCUAUCCGCCGUCUUGUUUUAUCGGCGUGCCUGUAAUAAAUUGUUGGGCAGUCUCCGCUCAAACCUUGUAUUAUAUUUAGUACUCCUGGUAUUUUUCUUCUGUGACCAAGAUAUUGUCUACCAGUGAGAAGGAAUUCUUCCUUACUGGUCCGUAAAAGGGAUUGGUCUCUCAAUAAUUAUUUUAUUGAAAAACCGGUCAUGACAUUGGAGAAGCCUGUAUUUACAAGAAAGUGAGUGGGAGCUCUGUAUCUGAUAUUAUAUGUGGAUGACAUAUUGUUGAUUGGAAAUGAUAUAGAAUUUCUGGAUAGCAUAAAGGGAUACUUGAAUAAGAGUUUUUCAAUGAAGGACUUCGGUGAAGCUGCUUAUAUAUUGGGCAUCAAGAUCUAUAGAGAUAGAUCAAGACGCUUAAUUGGACUUUCACAAAGCACAUACCUUGACAAAGUUUUGAAGAAGUUCAAAAUGGAUCAAGCAAAGAAAGGGUUCUUGCCUGUGUUACAAGGUGUGAAGUUGAGUAAGACUCAAUGCCCGACCACUGCAGAAGAUACAGAGAAGAUGAAAGAUGUUCCCUAUUCUUCAGCCAUAGGCUCUAUCAUGUAUGCAAUGUUGUGUACCAGACCUAAUGUGUGCCUUGCUAUAAGUUUGGCAGGGAGGUACCAAAGUAAUCCAGGAGUGGAUCACUGGACAGCGGUCAAGAACAUCUUGAAAUACCUGAAAAGGACUAAGGAUAUGUUUCUCGUUUAUGGAGGUGACAAAGAGCUAGUCGUAAAUGGUUACGUUGAUGUAAGCUUUGACACUGAUCCGGACAAUUCUAAAUCACAAACCGGAUACGUGUUUACAUUGAACGGUGGAGCUGUCAGUUGGUGCAGUUCUAAACAAAGCGUUGUGGCGGGAUCUACGUGUGAACCGGAGUACAUAGCUGCUUCGGAAGCAGCAAAUGAAGGAGUCUGGACGAAGGAGUUCAUAUCCAAUCUAGGUGUCAUACCUAGUGCAUCGGGUCCAAUGAAAAUCUUUUGUGACAAUACUGGUGCAAUUGCCUUGGCGAAGGAGUCCAGAUUUCACAAGAGAACCAAGCACAUCAAGAGACGCUUCAAUUCCAUCUGGGAUUUAGUCCAGGUGGGAGACAUAGAAAUAUUCAAGAUACAUAUGGAUCUGAAUGUUGCAGACCCGUUGACUAAGCCUCUUCCACGAGCAAAACAUGAUCAACACCAAGGCUCCAUGGGUGUUAGAAUCAUUACUGUGUAAUCUAGAUUAUUGACUCUAGUGCAAGUGGGAGACUGGAGGAAAUAUUGCCUAGAGGCAAUAAUAAAGUUAUUGUUUAUUUCCUUAUAUCAUGAUAAAUGUUUAUUAUUCAUGCUAGAAUUGUAUUAACCGGAAACAUAAUACUUGUGUGAAUACAUAGACAAACAGAGUGUCACUAGUAUGCCUCUACUGGACUAGCUCGUUGAUCAAAGAUGGUUAUGUUUCCUAGCCAUUGACAUGAGUUGUCAUUUGAUUAACGGGAUCACAUCAUUAGGAGAAUGAUGUGAUUGACUUGACCCAUUCCGUUAGCUUAGCACUCGAUCGUUUAGUAUGUUGCUAUUGCUUUCUUCAUGACUUAUACAUGUUCCUAUGACUAUGAGAUUAUGCAACUCCCGUUUACCGGAGGAACACUUUGUGUGCUACCAAACGUCACAACGUAACUGGGUGAUUAUAAAGGUGCUCUACAUGUGUCUCCGAAGGUACUUGUUGGCUUGGCGUAUUUUGAGAUUAGGAUUUGUCACUCCGAUUGUCGGAGAGGUAUCUCUGGGCCCACUCGAUAAUGCACAUCACUUAAGCCUUGCAAGCAUUGCAACUAAUGAGUUAGUUGCGGGAUGAUGUAUUACGGAACGAGUAAAGAGACUUGUCGGUAAGGAGAUUGAACUAGGUAUUGAGAUACCGACGAUCGAAUCUCGGGCAAGUAACAUACCAAUGACAAAGGGAACAACGUAUGUUGUUAUGCGGUCUGACCGAUAAAGAUCUUCGUAGAAUAUGUGGGAGCCAAUAUGAGCAUCCAGGUUCCGCUAUUGGUUAUUGACCGGAGACGUGUCUCGGUCAUGUCUACAUAGUUCUCGAACCCGUAGGGUCCGCACGCUUAAAGUUUCGAUGACGGUUAUAUUAUGAGUUUAUGAGUUUUAAUGUACCGAAGGUUGUUCGGAGUCCCGGAUGUGAUCACGGACAUGAUGAGGAGUCUCGAAAUGGUCAAGACAUGAAGAUUGAUAUAUUGGAAGCCUAUAUUUGGAUAUCGGAAGUGUUUCGGGUGAAAUCGGGAUUUUACCGGAGUACCGAGGGGUUACCGGAACCCCCGGGGGGGCUUAAUGGGACAUAGUGGGCCUUAGUGGAGAAGAGGAGAGGCGGCUAGGGCAGGGCCACGCGCCCCUCCCCCUCUAGUCCGAAUAGGACAAGGAGAGGGGGGCGGCGCCCCCCCCCCCCUUUCCUUCCUCUCUCCCUCCUCUUUCCCCCCUUCUCCUAAUCCAACAAGGAAGGGAGGGAGUCCUACUCCAGGUGGGAGUAGGACUCCUCCUGGCGCGCCUCCCCCUAGCCGGCCGCACCUCCCCCCUUGCUCAUUUAUAUACGAGGGCAGGGGGCACCCCAAGGACAUAACAAUUGAUCAGUUCAUCUUUUAGCCGUGUGCGGUGCCCCCCUCCACCAUAGUCCACCUCGAUAAUACUGUAGUGGUGCUUAGGCGAAGCCCUGCGUCGGUAGAACAUCCUCAUCGUCACCACGCCGUUGUGCUGACUAAACUCUCCCUCAACACUCGGCUGGAUCGGAGUUCGAGGGACGUCAUCGGGCUGAACGUGUGCUGAACUCGGAGGUGUCGUACGUUCGGUACUUGAUCGGUCGGAUCGUGAAGACGUACGACUACAUCAACCGCGUUGUGCUAACGCUUCCGCUUUCGGUCUACGAGGGUACGUAGACAACACUCUCCCCUCUUGUUGCUAUGCAUCACCAUGAUCUUGUGUGUGCGUAGGAAUUUUUUUGAAAUUACUACGUUCCCCAACAUGCAGAAGAUAGACAUAAAGUCAUUCCCUAUGCCUCAGCCAUAGGUUCUAUCAUGUAUGUUAUGCUGUGUACCAGACCUGAUGUGUUCCUUGCUAUAAGUAUAGUGGGGAGGUACCAAAGUAAUCCAGGAGUGGAUCACUGGACAGCGGUCAAGAACAUCCUGAAAUACCUAAAAAGGACUAAGGAUAUGUUUCUAGUUUAUGGAUGAGAUAAAGAUCUCGUCGUAAAUGCUUACGUCGGUGCAAGCUUUGACACUGAUCCGGAUGACUCUAAGUCACAAACCGGAUACGUAUUUAUAUUGAAUGGUGGAGCUGUCAGCUAGUGCAGUUCCAAACAGAGCGUCGUGGCAGGAUCUACGUGUGAAGCGGAGUACAUAGCUGCUUCGGAAGCAGCAAAUGAAGGAGUCUGGAUGAAGGAGUUCAUAUCCGAUCUAGGUGUCAUACCUAGUGCAUCGGGUCCAAUGAAAAUCUUUUGUGACAAUACUGGAGCAAUAGCCUUGGCGAAGGAAUUCAGAUUUCACAAGAGAACCAAGCACAUCAAGAGACGCUUCAAUUCCAUCCACGAUCUAGUCAAGGAAGGUGACAUAGAAGUUUGCAAAAUACAUACGGAUCUGAAUGUUGCAGACCCAUUGGCUAAGCCUCUUCCACGAGCAAAACAUGAUCAGCACCAAGACUCCAUGGGUGUUAGAAUCAUUACUAUGUAAUUUAGAUUAUUGACUCUAGUGCAAGUGGGAGUCCGAAGGAAAUAUUCCCUAGAGGCAAUAAUAAAGUUGUUAUUUAUAUUUCCUUAUAUCAUGAUAAAUGUUUAUUAUUCAUGCUAGAAUUGUAUUAACCGGAAACUUAAUACAUGUGUGAAUACGUAGACAAACAGAGUGUCCCUAGUAUGCCUCUACUAGACUAGCUCGUUAAUCAAAGAUGGUUAAGUUUCCUAACCAUAGACAUGUGUUGCAAUUUGAUAAACGGGACCACAUCAUUAGAGAAUGAUGUGAUGGACAAGACCCAUCCGUUAGAUUAGCACAAAUGAUCGUUUAGUUUUAUUGCUAAUGCUUUCAUCAUGACUCAUACAUGUUCCUCCGAUUAUGAGAUUAUGCAACUCCCGAAUACCGGAAGAACACCUUGUGUGCUAUCAAACGUCACAACAUAACUGGGUGAUUAUAAAGAUGCUCUACAGGUGUCUUCGAUGGUGUUUGUUGAGUUGGCAUAGAUCGAGAUUAGGAUUUGUCACUCCGUCUAUCGGAGAGGUAUCUCUAGGCCCUCUUGGUAAUGCUCAUCACUAUAAGCCUUGCAAGUAAUGCGACUAAUGAGUUAGUUGCGGGGUGAUGCAUUACAGAAUGAGUAAAGAGACUUGCCGGUAACGAGAUUGAACUAGGCAUGGUGAUACCGACGAUCAAAUCUCGGGCAAGUAACAUAUGGAUGACAAAGGGAACAACGUAUGUUGUUAUGUGGUUUGACUGAUAAAGAUCUUCGUAGAAUAUGUAGGAGCCAAUAUAAGCAUCCAGGUUCCGCUAUUGGUUAUUGACCGGAGAUGUGUCUCGGUCAUGUCUACAUAGUUCUCGAACCCGUAGGGUCCACACGCUUAAUGUUUGAUGACGAUUUGUAUUAUGAGUUUAUGUGAUUUGAUGACCGAAGAUUGUUCAGAGUCCCGGAUGAGAUCACGGGCAUGACAAGGAGUCUCGAAAUGGUCGAAACGUAAAGAAUGAUAUAUUGGACGAUGUUAUUCGGACACCGGAAGAGUUCCGGGAGGUACCGGGUAAAAACGGAGUGCCGGGGGGGUUACCGGAACCCCUCGGGGAAGUAAUGGGCCAACAUGGGCCUUAGGGGAGAGAGAGGGCACGCCACGAGGAGGUGCCCCCCCAUGGGGAGUCCGAAUAGGACUAGGGGAGGGGCGUUGUCGGUGUCAAAACCGGCGGAUCUCUGGUAGGGGGUCCCGAACUGUGCGUCUAGGAUUGAUGGUAACAGGAGACGGGGGACACGAUGUUUACCCAGGUUUGGGCCCUCUCUAUGGAGGUAAUACCCUACUUCCUGCUUGAUUGAUCUUGAUGAAUAUGAGUGUUACAAGAGUUGAUCUACCACGAGAUCGUAAUGGCUAAACCCUAGAAGUCUAGCCUAUGAGUAUAUGGUAAUGAAUCUGUCCUAUCCGGAUUAUUCUCUCCGGUUUAUAUAGACACCGAAGAGAUCUAGGGUUACAUAGAGUCGGUUUACAUAAGAAGGAAUCUUCAUAAUUGGUCUCCAAGCUUGCCUUCCACGCCAAGGAGAGUCCAAUCCGGACACGGGUAUAGUCUUCGGUCUUCGUGUCUUCACAGCCCAUCAGUCCGGCCCAUGGAUAACAGGCCGGACGCCCGAGGACCCCUUAGUCCAGGACUCCCUCAGGCGCGACCCCCCUCUCCCUCUCCCUCUCCUUCCUUCCCCCUCUCUCCCUUUUGGUGGAAUCCUACUAGGACUAGGAGUCCUAGUAGGACUCCCCUCUUGGGCGCGCCCUAGGUGUUGGGGAACGUAGUAAUUUCAAAAAAAUUCCUACGCACACACAGGAUCAUGGUGAUGCAUAGCAACAAGAGGGGAGAGUGUUGUCCACGUACCCUCGUAGACCGAAAUCGGAAGCCUUAGCACAACGCGGUUGAUGUAGUCGUACAUCUUCACGAUCCGACCGAUCCAAGUACCGAACGUACAGCACCUCCGAGUUCAGCACACGUUCAGCUCGAUGACGUCCUGCGAACUCCGAUCCAGAAGAGUUGCACGAGAGAGUUCCAUCAGCACGAGGCGUGGUGACGGUGAUGAUGUUGCUACCGACACAGGGCUUCGCCUAAGCACCGCUACGAUAUGACCGAGGUGGAAUAUGGUGGAGGGGGGCACCGCACACGGCUGGAAUAGAUCAACAGAUCAACUUGUGUGUCUAGAGGUGCCCUCCUGCCCCGGUAUAUAAAGGACCAGGGGGAGGAGGCGGCCGGCCAGGAGGAGGGCGCGCCAGGUAGGAGUCCUACUCCCACCGGGAGUAGGACUCCCUCUUUUCCUAGUUGGAGUAGGAGGGGGGAAGGAAGGGAAGGAGAGAGGGGGGAGGAAAGGGGGCGCCACCCCCCCCCCCUCCUUGUCCAAUUCGGACUAGAGGGGGAGGGGGCGCGCGGCCAGCCCUAGCCGCCCAUCCUCUUCUCCACUAAGGCCCAUCUUGGCCCGUUAAACUCCCCGGGGGGUUCCGGUAACCCCCCGGUACUCCGGUAUAUGUCUGAAACUCCCCGAAACCAUUCUGGUGUCCGAACAUAGUCGUCCAAUAUAUCGAUCUUUAUGUCUCGACCAUUUAGAGACUCCUCGUCAUGUCCGUGAUCAUAUCCGGGACUCCGAACUACCUUCGGUACAUCAAAACACAAAACUCAUAAUACCGAUCAUCAUCUAACUUUAAGCGUGCGGACCCUACGGGUUCGAGAACUAUAUAGACAUGACCGACACACGUCUCUGGUCAAUAACCAAUAGCGGAACCUGGAUGCUCAUAUUGGCUCCUACAUAUUCUACGAAGAUCUUUAUCGGUCAAACCGCAUAACUUGGCUCCUAUAUAGACUUGGAGGAAGUGUUGCAGGUGAACUGAAUGGAUAGAGAAAACUUGUUUUGGAACAUCAACUCUCCAGUGAAUAGAGCUCCAUUCCAACCAGUGAGGAUGCCACCAGAUGCCCCAAUGGAAGGUAAGUAUUCAAAUUUAUUAAAUCUCUGUGGGCAAACUUUAUGUAUAUAUGUUAAAUCAAAGGUCUCUCUCUUUGUUUCCUGUAAACACACAAUCCCAGCAGCACUUUCUUCCACUUUUUGCCUGAUAGCCAGCCACUUAUCUGAAGAAUUAAUACCUCUGACAUUCCAGUUUAGUAUAUUCCAGGUUCUGUUGUUAUUCAUUCAAAACCAAAAGUAUAUGUCCUUGUACACCAAGGUCCAACCCCUGGUGUAUAUCCCAAUAAUUGAUUCUUCUUUGAACCACAAAUAAAACAUAGCUCAUACAAGUAGUCACAUCAGACAAGCAUUGCACUGAAACAGAAUUGAGCCAAAGCCAAAGCAACAAGUAAUGCAUAAGGAGAGCUUUGAUGGCAGCAGAUACAGCACAGUUCACUCUCACAAAAGGGUACCACAGGUUACAUUCCAACCCAUUACAUUCAACUAACAAAAGAUGUCUUUCAGGACAAUCAUGCACUGUGGAACAAGUUCUGAGAUUAAGAUUCACUGCAAACAUAUAGAAAGGACAUUCCAAAAGAACAGCAGGACACUCUGCUAUUCCAGUCCAUCUGGUGUGGUCUUCUCAUCAUCACGCAAUCUUUGCUUUGUAGUCCUCUCCAGUGGCCUUAGACACCUUGGCCACCUCCUCCUGCCCCUUCUUUUUAGGCUUCUUGGACAGCUUUUCUUGAAGUUCAUCCUCAGCAACCUUACAGAAAGAUUUAGUCAGGAUUUUCACCACAGAAUUCUGAGUAACUGGUGGGAUAGCAUUACAUGGAAAACAGGAUUUAGCAUCACAUGAUUUUCUUCUAUAGCCCAUAUUAUCUUUCUUAAUCCUGUCACUCCUUCUUACCUCUGUUUCCACCAUAGGCUCUUUUUCCCUCCUUUUCCUUGAAAUAGCUUCACCCAGUGGAAGAAUUUUGUUUGGAGAGACUUGCUGAAGAGGACUGCCUGCCCCACUGGAGGAGUGAGUUGCUGGACUUACACCUUCAUUUUCCUUACCCUUCCCCAGCAAGAAAUAUUUGCAGGUUGGUGCCUGGGAAGUAGAACAUCUAUCAGGUAUAUGAAAAAGCAUAGUUUCCUCUUGUUCACAAUUAUCAGUCAACAUUUUCCACACAUCAGACUUUAGCAAGUGCAUUGUCCAACCAAACUUAUCGGGUGUCAACAACAAAUGUAUUAUGAAGUUGAACCAACUUACUGGUAUUUCAAUUUUGAAAGUGUUUGCUGCUCCUUGGGUUGCUGGUGCAAAAUGCUUAAUCCAGAGAUCAAGUCCUUCUUCAGACAUUAAAUGUGAACCAUCAAUAAUUUCCAAAGCAUGAUUUUCAGCCAGUUCAUGUAAAUCAAACAUAGUAGGAGAACCUGGCAAGGAAAAUGAUCCAUAGUUACCUUUGUUGUUAGGAUCUGAAGAGGUGCCAACAUGUGGAAUUGGGACAUCUUCCUUGCCCUUGUCAUCUGGAAGCAGAGCCUGUGGAGCAGUGACAGUUGCUCCAAUCAAAGAGCUGGCAGCAGCAAUUGCACCAUCACUUGGAAAAUCUCUCACAGCCUCAUUCUGUCUGUCUAUGACCAUCUUAGGAACAUAAUUGCCAGUAACUUCCUUAUCUCUACCAUCAUUGGGCCUAUCAUCCAUGUGGCCCAGCUGUAAGUCAAGCUGAAGCUCUGUAUCAGCAAUAUGAGGUACUAAAGCAGGCUCUAAGGCUAGAAUCUGUUGCUGAGCAUUGUCCAUAUUGUUUUGUGGCACCUGAUCCUCCUCUUCUUCAAUUGCAUUAUAGGCCAAUGCAAUGUUUAAGAGUCCUUAACCAAAUUGAGGAACUGGCACUCCCUGAUUGACCUCUUCACUGGUAGAGUGUGUAAUGGAAUGCAGACCAUCAGAGAGUGAGACGGUUGUUGUAAUGCUACUGUUAGGUGCCCCCUCUUCUGGCAUUACUGGAAUUUCAACUUGUUGUUGCUGGGGCUGAAUAGGCUCCAGUUAAGGAAAAGCCCAGUGUUGUUCUUGCUCUGCUUGCUCCUCCCAAGCAUCCCAGUCCUCAUUUGGGGCAUGAAUAUUGUCAAUGGGCAGAGGUUGGAAUCCUGGGAAGUCAUUUGCAUUUUGAGGUACAGGGUGUGGGUCCACACCAUCAGGUGGAAUGGGGUCUUCAUCAGCAGGCCCACCACCCAACAUUUCCUCCAGCAGCACUUCAACAGAGCAAGUCCAGGAGUCUUCUUCAAACCGCUCCCCUUCAGACCAUCUUAUGCUCUUUGGAAUUUCGUCAAGCUCUGUCACUCUGGAUUUUACCAAGAUCUUGCCUUUGAGUGCAUCCUCUUUCUCCCAGCUUAUGAUCUUACCCCAUUUGGAAAUAGCUGAAGCAAUAUCUUCAGUGUUGCAAAAAUCAAAAGGAACACCCACAAAGAGCAACCAACAAGUCCUAUUGAAAUGAACCCUGCGCCAAUUUCUGCCCUCAUUGUGUUUGGAAAAUGAGAUGAAAACAUCUCCAAAAGCAUGUGGACCCUGUUGAAUGAGCCUAUCUCUAUCCCUGACGUGCCUGAACUGCACAUAUGCCUCUCCAAACGGGCAUGGUUGUAUUUCCCUAAAUCCAACUUGUGCAUCUCCUUGAAGAAACUCUUCCAGAACCUCACGAACAUUUGGAAAAAAUACCUCGUCCGGGUGUGGAUGAACAUUGCCAAUCGCCCAGUCUUCAUGUCUUCUCGGGCGAUGGGGUACUAUUGCACAAGAAACCCGAGUUCGUCCCUCAAUCGCCUGAACCUGGAAGCCAUGCGGGACAAAAGGAAGAGGAUCGAUGGGGAUAUUGGCCAUCGCAGUCGACUCCAGCAGGGAGGCGACCAGAGCCCUCUUCGUCGACAAUGGCAGCAAUGGCGAGCUUGCCGAGGCGUGAGCAGAGGUGGAGGCAGAAGCAGUGGUGGAGACAGAAUAGGCAGGUGAAGUGGAAUGCGAGGAGGCAGGCGACGGUCUCGGCUUGAAGUUUGGGAAAAAAUCCUUGACCAGCUCCUUAAAUGAUGCCACCUGCCUAAUCUGCACCGCCGGCCCAAUACAAUGGAACCAGGAUUCAACCUCUCCAUCCGCCCAAGCGUUCUCUGGUGGGCUUGGGAAAGAACUAAAUGGAAUAAAAGGCCAAAGUCCAGUCAAGUUUGGAACAAUGCAAAAACGGGCGUAGUGGCCGUUGGCCCCGCAUGCAUGGCAAACCAUGUGAUUACGUGUAAUGGUACGUUGCACUUCAUUGUGCACCAAUUGAGGCCUGACCGAGGCAGAAUUAAUCUGUAAUGAAUUGUGGUUAAUGCCCUGAAUACUGCCCUCAUGAUUGAGCCCCGAUAACCGCUCGAAAACUGAUCUACCGUCUCUGACCACCGUGGAGUAGCUCCGCUGAUCACCGGAGUGAGGAACAAUUGCCUUGCCCGCCCUACCCACCAGAGUCCAUUCCUUGUCAAGCUCAGGAUAGUAAAGAGCUUCUUCCCGGCGCCAGUUUGGGCCACCAAAGUUCCAAAGGCUAAAAACCAACUCAAAAUCCUUUUCAAUGAUUCUACCCACAUUAUAUUCUCAAAACCUACAGACUUUGAAGCUACUGGGAACUUGUAAGAUUUGUCCCGUAGGAAACGAACUCGAAAUCCUUGGGCAUAGCCACCAAACGUGGCAAGAAGAGAAACACUAACCGUGUGCACAUAAAGCUUGAAAGAUGCUCGGCAAAAUGAUACCACCAUGGUGAACUCCUUUUGAUGAAAUCCCGGAGAGAAAACCACCGGGUGACCAAACUUGGUCCUCAUCUCCACUUGAAACUUCUUCCCACGGUCGAAGUUGAGAGAAAAGGGCACCAUCUUGAGAGGAGGGUGGCUACCAGGGCCGGAGUGGCCACUGGUAGGAGUUGAGUGGCCGCCGGGGCCGGAGUGGCCGCCGGCGCAAGGAGGGUGGAGCGCUUUAAUCCAGAUAUUCCUUAGCAGUCCCGAGAUUCGAUCGUCGGUAUCUCAAUACCUAGUUCAAUCUCGUUACCGGCAAGUCUCUUUACUCAUUCCGUAAUACAUCAUCCCACAACUAACUCAUUAGUUACAAUGCUUGCAAGGCUUAUAGUGAUGUGCAUUACUGAGUGGGCCCAGAGAUACCUCUCCGACAAUCGGAGUGACAAAUCCUAAUCUCGAAAUACGCCAACCCAACAAGUACCUUUGGAGACACCUGUAGAGCACCUUUAUAAUCACCCAGUUACGUUGUGACGUUUGGUAGCACACAAAGUGUUCCUCUCUUGUUUUUGUAAAUAUUAUUAGUUCAUCGGUCCCGAUUCAGCCUAUUAUGAAUGAACAUGUUUGCAAUGACAAUUAGAGAUUAUAGUUGCUCGUGCCAUGCUUGAUUAGCUAUGAGUUAUAAUGGUUUACCUUGCGUGCCAACAUGCUAUUAAAAUGGUUGUGAUGUGGUAUAGUGGGGUGGUAUCCUCCUUUGAAUGAUUUAAGUGACUCGACUUGGCACAUGUUUACACAUGUAGUUGAAACAAAUCAACAUAGCCUUCACGGUUUAUGUUCAUGGUGGAUUAUAUCCUACUCAUGCUUGUACUCAAUGUUUAUUAAUUUUAAUGCAUGUUCAUGACUGUUGUCGCUCUCUAGUUGGUCGCUUCCCAGUCUUUUGCUAGCCUUCACUUGUACUAAGUGGAAUACUGCUUGUGCAUUCAAUCCCUUAAACCCCAAAGUUAUUCCAUAUGAGUCCACUAUACCUUCCUAUAUGCGGUAUCUACCUACCGUUCCAAGUAAAUUUGUAUGUGCCAAACUCUAAACCUUCAAAUGAAAUUCUGUUUUGUAUGCUCGAAUAGCUCAUGUAUCAACUAGGGUUGUCCGUAUCUUCCAUGCUAGGCGGGUUAUUCUCAAGAGGAGUGGUGAAAGAACAUGCGGUGCCCCCAUGUUUGGUUUUGGUAAUUGAUGACAAUCUCUAUGGACUAAUGGUUGCCUUGAGUUAUAUUUGAAGGAUUUGUCCAUAGGCAUUUCUUGAAGUUCAUGUGUUGGUUUCAAGGAGUUUAUGUGGUGACCAAGGUAUUAUUAAGGAAUUAUCCAAAGAUUGGUCAUGUGAGAGUUGAGCUUAUUGCAAGCAUGUCUUGGAGAAGAAGAUUGUGUGAUCAUUCAUGUAUAUCUUCAAGACAUCAUCCAAAUGAAGAGAGUUGAAAAGAUUCAUGGUUGAUCAAGACUAAGUCAAGAGUGAAUCAACUUGAUCAACUCACAAAGCGUAGAAGAUGUACCGAGAGGGAUCGAGCGAUCCCAUGGUGUGGUAAGCAUUGUCAAUUACGCUUUGUGUACUAACCCAUGAUCUUCGUGAGAGUUCUUUGUGGGGUUAGGUUGCGGUGUGCAAGUUCAAGUGAAGCAUCAUGAAGAGAUCAAAUGCUUGAAGCUUGCCGUCCAUUGUGGUGACAAUGGACUUGUGAAGAUGUUGCGGUGUGCAAGCUCAAGUGAAGCAUCAUGAAGAGAUCAAAUGCUUGAAGCUUGCCGUCCAUUGUGGUGACAAUGGACUUGUGAAGAUGUGCGGAAGAGUGGCUCACCCAUAGUGGAGCAUGGGGGAGCAAUCAACUAGUCUUCAUCGAGCCAACGCAACCAAGAAAGGUGGUCCAACUUGAGGGAGUCAAGAUCGUCAUCAUCUAGCUCAAGUGGACCAUGUGCAAGGCAAAGGUUUUCUCUUGAUAGGUUUUCUAUUUUACCGGUCUCAUGAUGGUAGUUGGGAGACCGGGUUAUAGGAUCGAUUGCCGUACUAUCAAGGGGGGCUCUCGAUGAGUAGCUUGAUCGUAUCGUUCAUAGAGAGCUCAAACCAUUGCAUCCUUGCAUCAUCUUUUUUGGUUAUUGUUUGGUUCUUCUCUUUGUGAGUUUUGGAGCUUAUGGUCAUCUUGAUGACAAGCUCGAGUUCAUCGAAAACGGAGUUCACUCGCAUCUUCUAUGAUGUUUUCGAUGUUGGAGGUUAUGCCGGUUCUUCACGGUUGGAGGUUUCACUCCUCUAUUUGUUGGCACUCCUCUAUUUGUUUUGAUGCUACUCGUCUUCCUCUAUCCAACAAGCUUGAUUUUGCUCAAUUCGGAGCUCAUAUGCAGAAGUUAUGGCAGUUUUGGUUUCCUAGCGGUAGUACCGCGGGCCGGAGCGGUAGUACCGCUUGGGUGCUACAAGCGUUAGUACCGCUCUAGAGCGGUGGUACCGCUCCUGAGCGGUAGUACCGCUGGUAGCCCCCAGCCGUAGUACCGCUGCGGUCUCGUGCUAGUACCUCCUCGAUUCGAGGGGUCUUUUUUCGUGUCGGGUUUUACGGUACUAGCCACGGCAGUGGGGGCCGUUGUACCGCUCGUAUGCGGUAGUACCGCCCUGCCACCGCGGUAGUACCGCUCUGGGCCCAGCGGCAGUACCGCGAGGGGGAGCGGUAGUACCGCUUAUAGGGGCAAGCGGUAGUACCGCUGGCCAAGCGGUAGUACCGCUCUCUGCGGGGCUGAAGUGGGGGUAACGGUUGGAUUGUUCCCCCCACUAUAUAAGGGGGUCUUCUUCCCCAUUCUACUUUAUCUCUUGAGCUCGUGUUCUUCCCCCAUUGUUGACCUUCUUCGAGCUUGCUAACUCUCAAUCCCUCCAUGGAUUCUUGCUAGUUUUUGAGGGAAAAGAGAGAGGAGAUCUAGAUCCACAUUUCCACCAAUCACUUUCUCCUCUAUGUGAGGGGAACCCAUUGGAUCUAGAUCUUGGAGUUCUUGGUGUUCUCCUUCUUGUUCUUCCUCUCAUUUUCUUCCCUAGCAUUAGUUGCUUCAGUGGGAUUUGAGAGAGAAGGACUUGGGCACUCCGUGUGCCCUUGCCAUUGCAUUUGGUGCAUCGGUUUGAGUUCUCCACGGUGAUACGUGGAAGUUACAAGUUGAGAAGCUUAUUACUCUUGGGUGCUUGGUGCCCUUGAGCUUGUUCCUCUUGGGUGCUUGGGCGCCCUAGACGGUUGGUGGUGUUCGGAGCUCAAUCAUUGUGGUGUAAAGCUCCGGGCAAGCGUCGGGGUCUCCAAUUAGGUUGUGGAGAUCGCCCCGAGCAAUUUGACGGGUUCCGGUGACCGCCCCCAAGGGUUGCCAAAGUGUACGGGUUCGGUGACCGCCCCCAAGGGUUGCCAUUUGUACGGGUUCGGUGACCGCCCUCAAGGGUCCCUUAGUGGAAUCACGGCAUCUUGCAUUGUGCGAGGGCGUGAGGAGAUUACGGUGGCCCUAGUGGCUUCUUGGGGAGCAUUGUGCCUCCACACCGCUCCAAACGGAGAUUAGCAUCCGCAAGGGUGUGAACUUCGGGAUACAUCGUCGUCUCCGCGUGUCUCGGUUAUCUCUUACCCGAACCCUUUACUUAUGCACUUUACUUUGUGAUAGCCAUAUUGUUUCUUGUCAUAUAUCUUGCUAUCACUUAGUUGUUUGUCUUGCUUAGCAUAAGUUGUUGGUGCACAUAGGUGAGCCUAGUUGUUGUAGGUUUUGUGCUUGUCAAAUUAACCGCUAGGUUUAUUCCGCAUUUGUUCAAGCCUAAACCGUAAUUAUUUUAAAGCGCAUAUUCACCCCCCCCUCUAGGCGACAUCCACGAUCUUUCAAGUGGACUCCGCUCCUCAUUCACAAGAAAAUGGCUGGUCACCGGGAUGCCCAGUCCCAUGCUUUAUGCAAACUAAAUCAAAAUAAUUGCAAACAAAACUCCCCCUAGGACUGUUGCUAGUUGGAGGCACUCGUUGUUUCGAGCAAGCCAUGGAUUGAUGCUUGUUGGUGGAGGGGGAGUAUAAACUUUACCAUUCUGUUUGGGAACCGCCUAUAAUGUGUGUAGCAUGGCAGAUAUCGCCAUCUCUUGGUUGUUAUGUUGACAAUGAAAGUAUGCCGCUCAAAAUAUUAUUUAUCUCUAUUUGAAAACUGAGCUCUGGCACCUCUACAAAUCCCUGCUUCCCUCUGCGAAGGGCCAAUCUAUUUACUUUUAUGUUGAGUCAUCACCCUCUUAUUAAAAAGCACCAGCUGGAGAGCACUGCUGUCAUUUGCAUCCAUUACUAUUAAUUUAUAUUGGGUAUGACUAUGACUGGAUCUCUUUUACCAUGAAUUACAAUGUCUAGUCAGUCCUUGAUCUUUAAAGGUGCUCCGCAUUUAUGUUUUGCGGUCUCAAAAAGGGCUAGCGAGAUACCAUCUUGUUAUAUCAUAUCAUGAUUGUUUUGAGAAAGUGUUGUCAUCCGAGAUUUAUUAUUAUGGCUCGCUAGUUGAUUAUGCCAUUGAUAUGAGUAAACAUGAGACCUAAGUGUUAUUGCGAAUGUGGUUAGUCAUAAUCUUUGCUGAAAACUUGAAUGCUGGCUUUACAUAUUUACAACAACAAGAGCAAACAGAGUUUGUAAAAGUUUUUCUUUAUCACUUUCAGUUUAUCAACUUAAUUGCUUGAGGACAAGCAAAGGUUUAAGCUUGGGGGAGUUGAUACGUCUCCGUCGUAUCUACUUUUCCAAACACUUUUGCCCUUGUUUUGGACUCUAACUUGCAUGAUUUGAAUGGAACUAACCCGGACUGAUGCUGUUUUCAGCAGAAUUGCCAUGGUGUUAUUUAUGUGCAGAAACAAAAGUUCUCGGAAUGACCUGAAACUCCACGGAACAUAUUUUUGGAAAAUAUUAAAAAUACUGGAAGAAGAAUCCACGUCAGGGGGCCCACACCAUGUCCAUGAGGGUGGGGGCGCGCCUGCCCCCCUGGGCGCGCCCCCCUGCCUCAUGGGCCCCCUGACGCUCCACCGACCUCAACUCCAACUCCAUAUAUUCGUGUUCGGGGAGAAAAAAAUCAGAGAGAAGGAUUCAUCGCGUUUUACGAUACGGAGCCGCCGCCAAGCCCUAAAACCUCUCGGGAGGGCUGAUCUGGAGUCCGUUCGGGGCUCCGGAGAGGGGGAUUCGUUGCCGUCGUCAUCAUCAACCAUCCUCCGUCACCAAUUUCAUGAUGCUCACCGCUGUGCGUGAGUAAUUCCAUCGUAGGCUUGUUGGACGGUGAUGGGUUGGAUGAGAUCUAUCAUGUAAUCGAGUUAGUUUUGUUAGGGUUUGAUCCCUAGUAUCCACUAUGUUCUGAGAUUGAUGUUGCUAUGACUUUGCUAUGCUUAAUGCUUGUCACUAGGGCCCGAGUGCUAUGAUUUCAGAUCUGAACCUAUUAUGUUUUCAUGAAUAUAUGUGAGUUCUUGAUCCUAUCUUGCAAGUCUAUAGUCACCUACUAUGUAUUAUGAUCCGGCAACCCCGAAGUGACAAUAAUCGGGACCACUCCCAAUGAUGACCAUAGUUUGAGGAGUUCAUGUACUCACUAUGUGUUAAUGCUUUGGUCCGGUACUCUAUUAAAAGGAGGCCUUAAUAUCCCUUGGUUUCCAUUAGGACCCCGCUGCCACGGGAGGGUAGGACAAAAGAUGUCAUGCAAGUUCUUUUCCAUAAGCACGUAUGACUAUAUUCGGAAUACAUGCCUACAUUACAUUGAUGAAUUGGAGCUAGUUCUGUGUCACCGUAUGUUAUGAUUGUUACAUGAUGAACUGCAUCCGGCAUAAUUCUCCAUCACCGAUCCAAUGCCUACGAGCUUUUCAUAUAUUGUUCUUUGCUUAUUUACUUUUCCGUUGCUACUGUUACAAUCACUACAAAACCCAAAAAUAUUACUUUUGCUACCGUUACCGUUACUUCCAUAUUACUUUGCUACUAAAUACUUUGCUGCAGAUACUAAGUUAUCCAGGUGUGGUUGAAUUGACAACUCAACUGCUAAUACUUGAGAAUAUUCUUUGGCUCCCCUUGUGUCGAAUCAAUAAAUUUGGGUUGAAUACUCUACCCUCGAAAACUGUUGCGAUCCCCUAUACUUGUGGGUUAUCAAGACUAUUUUUUGGCGCCAUUGCCGGGGAGCAUAGCCGAUCAACGGGCAAGUCAACCAAAGUAACACUACUAUCAGCGUCCGUCUUCCUCUUGAAGAUCCAUUUAUUUUCUAUGGCUUGCCGAUCAACGGGCAAGUCAACCAAAGUCCACACUUUGUUCUCAUACAUGGAUCCCAUCUCAGAUUUCAUGGCCUCAAGCCAUUUUGCGGAAUCUGGGCUCACCAUCGCUUCUUCAUAGUUUGUAGGUUCACCUUAGUCAAGUAACAUGACCUCCAGAAUAGGAUUACCGUACCACUCUGGUGUGGAUCUUACUCUGCUUGACCUACGAGGUUCAGUAGUAACUUGAUCUGAAGUUUCAUGAUCAAUAUCAUCAGCUUCCUCACUAAUUGGUGUAGGUGCCACAGGAACCGGUUUCUGUGAUGAACUACUUUCCAAUAAGGGAGCAGGUACAGUUACCUCAUCAAGUUCUACUUUCCUCCCACUCACUUCUUUCGAGAGAAACUCCUUCUCUAGAAAGGUUCCAAAUUUAGCAACAAAAGUCUUGCCUUCAGAUCUCGGGAAUUGUCUUAUUCAUCCCUUGCAUGUUAUAGUUCAUCUCUUCCAUCUUGCAGCUGUAGAACUUAUUGGAGACUUCAUAUCUCUCAAUCCGGGCAUUUGCUUGAAAUAUUAACUUCAACUCCUGGAACAUCUCAUAUGCUCCAUGACGUUCAAAACGUCGUUGAAGUCCCGCUUCUAAGCCGUAAAGCAUGGCACACUGAACUAUCGAGUAGUCAUCAGCUUUGCUCUGCCAGAUGUUCAUAACAUCUGGUGUUGCUCCUGCAGUAGGUCUGGCACCUAGCGGUGCUUCCAGGACGUAAUUCUUCUGUGCAGCAAUGAGGAUAAUCCUCAAGUUACGGACCCAGUCCGUGUAAUUGCUACCAUCAUAUUUCAACUUUGCUUUCUCAAGGAACGCAUUAAAAUUCAACGGAACAACAGCACGGGCCAUCUAUCUACAACAACAUAGACAAGCAAGAUACUAUCAGGUACUAAGUUCAUGAUAAAUUUAAGUUCAAUUAAUCAUAUUACUUAAGAACUCCCACUUAGAUAGACAUCCCUCUAAUCAUCUAAGUGAUCACGUGAUCCAAAUCAACUAAACCAUGUACAAUCAUCAUGUGAGAUGGAGUAGUUUCAAUGGUGAACAUCACUAUGUUGAUAAUAUCUACUAUAUGAUUCACACUCGACCUUUCGGUCUCAGUGUUCCGAGGCCAUAUCUGCAUAUGCUAGGCUCGUCAAGUUUAACCUGAGUAUUCCGCGUGUGCAACUGUUUUGCACCUGUUGUAUUUGAACGUAGAGCUUAUCACACCCGAUCAUCACGUGGUGUCUCAGCAUGAAGAACUUUCGCAACGGUGCAUACUCAGGGAGAACACUUAUACCUUGAAAUUUAGUGAGAGAUCAUCUUAUAAUGCUACCGUCGAUCUAAGCAAAAUAAGAUGCAUAAAAGAUAAACAUCACAUGCAAUCAAUAUAAGUGAUAUGAUAUGGCCAUCAUCAUCUUGUGCUUGUGAUCUCCAUCUCCGAAGCACCGUCAUGAUCACCAUCGUCACCGGCGCGACACCUUGAUCUCCAUCGUAGCAUCGUUGUCGUCUCGCCAACUAUUGCUUCUACGACUAUCGCUACCGCUUAGUGAUAAAGUAAAGCAAUUACAGGGCGAUUGCAUUGCAUACAAUAAAGCGACAACCAUAUGGCUCCUGCCAGUUGCCGAUAACUCGGUUACAAAACAUGAUCAUCUCAUGCAAUAAAAUAUAGAAUCAUGCCUUUGACCAUAUCACAUCACAACAUGCCCUGCAAAAACAAGUUAGACGUCUUCUACUUUGUUGUUGCAAGUUUUACGUGGCUGCUACGGGCUGAGCAAGAACCGUUCUUACCUACGCAUCAAAACCACAACGAUAGUUCGUCAAGUUAGUGAUGUUUUAACCUUCUCAAGGACCGGGCGUAGCCACACUCGGUUCAACUAAAGUUGGAGAAACUGACACCCGCCAGCCACCUAUGUGCAAAGCACGUCGGUAGAACUAGUCUCGCGUAAGCGUACGCGUAACGUCGGUCCGGGCCGCUUCAUCCAACAAUACCGCCGAACCAAAGUAUGACAUGCUGGUAAGCAGUAUGACUUGUAUCGCCCACAACUCACUUGUGUUCUACUCGUGCAUAUAACAUCUACGCAUAAAACCAGGUUCGGGUGCCACUGUUGGGGAACGUAGUAAUUUCAAAAAAAAUCCUACGCACACACAGGAUCAUGGUGAUGCAUAGCAACGAGAGGGGAGAGUGUUGUCCACGUACCCUCGUAGACCGAAAGCAGAAGCGUUAGCACAACGCGGUUGAUGUAGUCGUACGUCUUCACGAUCCGACCGAUCCAAGUACCGAACGUACGGCACCUCCGAGUUCAGCACAUGUUCAGCUCGAUGACGUCCCGCGAACUCCGAUCCAGCAGAGCUUCACGGGAGAGUUCCGUCAGCACGAUGGCGUGGUCACGGUGAUGAUGUUGCUACCGACGCAGGGCUUCGCCUAAGCACCGCUACGAUAUGACCGAGGUGGAAUAUGGUGGAGGGGGGCACUGCACACGGCUGGAAUAGAUCAACAGAUCAACUUGUGUGUCUAGAGGUGCCCCCUGCCCCCAUAUAUAAAGGACUAGGGGGAGGAGGCGGCCGGCCAGGAGGAGGGCGUGCCAGGGAGGGGUCCUACUCCCACCGGGAGUAGGACUCCCUCUUUUCCUAGUUGGAGUAGGAGGGGGAAAGGAAGGGGAGGAGAGAGGGGGAAGGAAAGGGGGCGCCCCCCCCCCCUUGUCCAAUUCGGACUAGAGGGGGAGGGGGGCGCGGCCAGCCCUAGCCGCCCCUCCUCUUCUCCACUAAGGCCCAUCUUGGCCCAUUAAACUCCCCGGGGGGUUCCGGUAACCCCCCGGUACUCCGGUAUAUGUCCGAAACUCCCCGAAACCAUUCCGGUGUCCGAACAUAGUCGUCCAAUAUAUCGAUCUUUACAUCUCGACCAUUUCGAGACUCCUCGUCAUGUCCGUGAUCAUAUCCGGGACUCCAAACUACCUUCGGUACAUCAAAACACAAAACUCAUAAUACCGAUCGUCGUCUAACUUUAAGCGUGCGGACCCUACGGGUUCGAGAACUAUGUAGACAUGACCGAGACACGUCUCUGGUCAAUAACCAAUAUCGGAACCUGGAUGCUCAUAUUGCCUCCUACAUAUUCUACGAAGAUCUUUAUCGGUCAAACCGCAUAACAACAUACGUUGUUCCCUUUGUCAUCGGUAUGUUACUUGCCCGAGAUUCGAUCGUCGGUAUCUCAAUACCUAGUUCAAUCUCGUUACUGGCAAUUCUCUUUACUCGUUCCGUAAUACAUCAUCCCGCAACUAACUCAUUUGUUACAAUGCUUGCAAGGCUUAUAGUGAUGUGCAUUACCGAGUGGGCCCAGAGAUACCUCUCCGACAAUCGGAGUGACAAAUCCUAAUCUCAAAAUACGUGAACCCAACAAGUACCUUUGGAGACACCUGUAGAGCACCUUUAUAAUCACCCAGUUACGUUGUGAUGUUUGGUAGCACACAAAGUGUUCCUCCCGUAAACGGGAGUUGCAUAAUCUCAUAGUCAUAGGAACAUGUAUAAGUCAUGAAGAAAGCAAUAGCAGAAUACUAAACGAUCAAGUGCUAAGCUAACGGAAUGGGUCAAGUCAAUCACAUCAUUCUCCUAAUGAUGUGAUCCCGUUAAUCAAAUGACAACUCAUGUCUAUGGCUAGGAAACAUAACCAUCUUUGAUCAACGAGCUAGUCAAGUAGAGGCAUACUAGUGACACUCUGUUUGUCUAUGUAUUCACACAAGUAUUAUGUUUCCGGUUAAUACAAUUCUGGCAUGAAUAAUAAACAUUUAUCAUGAUAUGAGGAAAUAAAUAAUAACUUUAUUAUUGCCUCUAGGGCAUAUUUCCUUCACUAGGGGACGGCCGGCCCUCCCCUCCUCCCUCCUUUAUAUACGUGGGGAGGGGGCACCCUAGAACACAGAAGUUGAUCUUUUAGCCGUGUGCGGUGCCCCCCUCCAUAGUUACACACCUCGGUCAUAUCGUCGUAGUGCUUAGGCGAAGCCCUGCGCCGGUAACUUCAUCAUCACCGUCACCACGCCGUCGUGCUGACGGAACUCUCCCUCGGCCUCAACUGGAUCAAGAGUUCGAGGCACGUCAGCGAGCUGAACGUGUGCUGAACGCGGAGGUGUUGUACGUUCGGUACUUGGAUCGGUUGGAUCACAAAGACGUUCGACUACAUCAACCGCGUUACUAAACGCUUCCGCUUUCGAUCUACGAGGGUAUGUGGACACAGUCUCGCGCUCGUUGCUAUGCAUCUCCUAGAUAGAUCUUGCAUGAUCGUAGGUAAAAAUUUUGAAAUACUGCGUUCCCCAACAAUUUUUUCACAAAAUGAUAUGUAUCCGUGCUCCAAGUGCAUCGACUGAGUUACGCUUGACGCAGAAUUAUCCUCCAAACGGAUAUUUUACGUACAGUAAUUUCAAAAUGAAAUAAUACAAUGCUCAAAUGAUAGUGCCUUCUAUAAUUACGCUUGACGCAGCAAAGAUACACAGGACUCUAGAAAUGCAAAAGAACAUGAGCUGCAUAUGAAUGACAUGGAAGAAGCCGAGAUACCUUUGCAAAGGAUAGCAGGCUGACACCAAGCACAAUCGUCCAGCAUAGAUGGCAUGAAAUUUACAUUGUCUGUGUAGUAAUGCAACAUGCCUAUAUCAGCAAGCAUGUCUACUAAUCACCUAUAAUAGAGUAUCAACAGAGUGCAGUGAAACAAGAUACCAGAAUAUCUAUUUACAACCCACAUAUUCAAAAAUCACAAAAUUAAUGUCUUUAUGCAUAAUAAAACACCAUAUAUUUUUUUCUUAAAUAUAUCCAAAGCUUUUAGGCUAAAUAUUAGUACUAUAUACCAUGAAGAAGGAUUACUCCAGUAGACUUUCCAAUCAUCUUCACAUGGCUGAUGCUAAUGAGUCCAUCCCUGCUCUUAUCACCUAUAUAAAACAAAGACCAUCAGUUACAAAAACCACAUUAUACAAUCCAUGAAACAUAGGAGGGAUCUCAGGGGCAGGAGGAGAGGGGGAUCUCACCUUGGCUCCGAGACUGUUGGGUGCCGUCGUGGAGGUGCUCUGAACCAGGAAACACCAAUAAUAACCACAAAGGACUGGAAAUAACCACUUCCAUGUAACUGAGAACUGAAAAAAAGAUACAAAAAGGAAAGGUGGAUUGAACAUUUUCUCACAAAGCGUAUAGAAUUAAUUCCUUGGAUAAAACAAUACCAUCACACCAGAUAAACCAACAUAAGAUCAUUUUGAUUAACGGAACCAUAAACACGUUAGGCAUAGAACCUCAAUUAUCUUCCUAACCAACCAUGUGGGCUAUCUAAUCCCUAAGAUAAAUAAAUAAGCAAGGAUCAAUCAAAACAAACCAACACCGCUCAGAUUUGUAGCAUUAGUUGAACCAGUGAUUAAGGAGCGAGAAUGUGUCCCUUAUGAAAAAAUAGCAUUAGUUGAACCAGUGAUUAAGGAGCGAGAAUUUGUACUCAAAUUUAAUAUGUGUGGUAUUCAAAACUACUAAACUCUAGUGUCAAAAGAGAUGUGAUGCAUAGACCUUUUCAGGACCUUAACCUUGUUUGGAUAAAUGCUCAGGUUUAACAUCAUAUUUCAGGAUCCUAAAGCAUUCCAAUCUUUUCUCUAAAAACUGACCAUAUGUGCGAACCCAUGCAUAACAGUCCUAAGUUGGACAACACUCAAUCUUAGUACAUAGGAAAAUCAAAGGAUAAUAAGCAGGCCACGGUAUUUCAUACCAAAUGAAGAGAUACUAACCGACUGGACUGGAGUCAUCCUUGAAGUUUGAGAUCUGCAGAAUAUGCCCCCUUUGUGUAAAAUUAAGAAGUUCUUCCAGAAUACGCCCAUCUGCAGAAGCCUAUGAACCACUACAAUUGUCUUCAGUGCUACCUGUACGCUGCAAAAGAUGGGAUGGCGAAAAUCAAUUGACUGCUUAUAAGAUUCUGAAAGAUAGGAGAGGCUGAGGGCUAGAGCAGAUCAGAGAGGAGGAGGAUGGGACGAUGAACUCACCGGAAAAGGAGGAGGCCAGUCCGAUGCGCCCGUGCAAGGCUGUACCUCAUGGCCAGCGGGAAGCGGAGCCACGCAUGGGGUCGAGGGAGGAGACGAAGAGGAGCGGCCGGAGUCCACCAGAGCCGCGGUAGCCGGGGCCGGGGCGGGACGUUAGGGUUUGGGCGGCGCCAGAUCGGAGGGGUGGAAGGAAGAGGUCGUGAGGGGAGGAGGCCGGGCGGCGGCGGGGAAGGAGGAGAGGGAGGCGCGGGUGCGGGAGGAGGAGGCGGCGCGAGGGGUGGAAGGAGGAGGCCGUGAGGGGAGGGGGCCGGGCAGCGGCGUGGAAGGAGGAGAGGGGGCGCGGGUGGGGAGGAGGAGGCGGAGCGAGCGGGAGAGGAGCCGGCCAGGGUUGUCUCCAUGGGAGCAGCCCUUUUAUACCCCCAGUGCGCGAAAUGAAGAAAAUGCCCCCGGCGGGGCAGGCUAUCUACGCGCGGUGGCACGACCGGGGCUGACACGGUUUAUUGCAACGGUCUCAGUUUUUAUCCGACGGACGAGGUCAACCGUGGGCGCGAUCCAACGGCCGAAAACGCAUCAGGAACGAGAUCGGACGGCCCAUAUGCUCUGAGCUCUGAGGAGGCUCGGUGCUCCCUUCGUUUCUUCUCUUUUGAUUCCCAUUGCCAAUACCAACUUUCCCCCUUUCAAAUAGAUUCUUUUGAUAUAAGUAGUUUCGUUGUUAUGGUGUCUUCCAAGGAUAAAUAUUGUUUUUUUAACAGGGGCUUCUACAGUGCACACAUGCACGAUAUACAUCCACCCUCCUUCACGGUCACUUGCAGCAUGGUCAAAUACACAAGACGUCUUUCUCAACAAAAGAACAGACACACACAAGAAGACCCCAUCAGAACAGAAGCGCGCAAGAUGCUUGGUCAUAUCUCCUUGGAAAAAAUUGUAGCUGCAGUGAGCUAGCCAUCGACUUAUCAUGAUCGCAACUGACACUGACAUGAACACACUGUUAUGAACAUAACAAUCCAAGGAAGUCUUCCAGACAGACAAGGCAAAUUAAACUAAGGAUCACAAGCGUGCAGUUGCUCCUACCCAGCCAUAAACAAACCGGAGUGGAUCGAACGGUCCAAAGCCGCACUGAUUGAUGUUGGUUUUUCGCAUGCGAAUUAAUGCGCGUCCGAACAAGAACAAUGACACCAUACGCUCUCUGUCAAUCAGUCACAACUUUUCCAAAAUUUUAGCGGGAGGAGACGUCUUCGUCGACUACGAGGCGCUUACGGUGAUUUAGUAAAAUCUCAUGAUGGUAUGCCGAUUCGGUCUCUCGGAUGUGCUCAGAGAGGUAGGGUGUGCGCAUGUGCGUUCAUAGGAUUGAGUGUAUGCGUGUUUACAUGAGCGCUUACGCGUACUGUGUUCGAAGAAAAACCGUUUCAAAAUUUACAUCCAUUCCCAACAUUGUUUCUUAUUCCAAACAAAUUAACCCAUGACUGAACAUCGGCGACAUGCAACUAUGCAUGGCAGAGGAUCCAGUUCAGAAGAUGUGGAGGAUGUCCUGGAUGAAGACGUUGCAGAGCGGGCAGUUGCCGCGGGUGUGCCGGAGCUCGCGGGAGCAGAGGCGGCAGAAGGUGUGGCCGCACGGGAUGAAGGCCGCGCCCUUGUGCCGCACCAUGCACACGCAGCACACCUGCAGCUCCUCCUCUUCUUCCUCUUCGUGGCGCUCGCCGCGACCGUCCUCGUCGUUGUCCUCGACCGAGCCGCACCGGGACGCGCCGCCGUCCUCGCCCGCUUCGUCCCAGUGGCCGUCGGCCUGCUCCAUCAGCGUCAUGAGGGACGUCGACGCCGCGGCCGGCGGCGGCAAAUCAUUGUCCUCCGCCUCCUCUUCGACGUCGCUGCCGCCCUCGUCGUCGACCACGGCGCGAAGCGACGGCGCGCGGGAGAAGGCGGCGGACGCCUCACCGGACGUGUAGUUGCUCUUGCCGCUGCUUCUCGGGGCGGCACGGCUCGCCGCAGCGCUAGGCUUGGUCUCCGACCCCGCCGCGUGCCACGCCCCCGCGGCGCGGCGGAGCCAGAGCCGGUGGCGCAGCGGCCUCCAGUUGAUCGCACCGCCGGCCCCGCCCUCGCCUCGAACGUCCCGGUCGAUGGCGUCCAUGAGCGUGCACGGCCUUUCCUCGUCGUCGUCGUCGUCCGGGAUCCUGAGGAAGUCGCGGAUGGCCGGUUCGGCGGGCGUGGAGAGCUGCUCCUUGAGCGUCAUGGCGCGCCGCAGCUCCGGCCGCCGGUCCAUCGGCAGGCCUCGAUCGGCGGCACGGCGUCUCGUUCGCGUCGGGGGGUGGUGACUGCGGUGGUUGAGAGGACAGAGAGGCGGGCUGCGGUUGCGCGCGAGUGGGGAGGACGGGAGACGCCGUGGACUGGAGCGGGUCUCGCGGGGUUUUUAAACCCUGGAACGCAAUUACCGCAAAGGCGCGCGGAUGGGAGCUAAAUUACGCUGGGUGCCACGCUAAGUCUGACUUACUACGGGCGCCUGGCUUCCACCAUGCUAUUGGGCAGUGGAGUAAUUUGCCCACUUGAUGUACUAAAAUUUGACAACGGAAUCGCUGGAGGUCAAGAAAACUAUUUCGAAAUCCUGUACUUGCAAGUCUGCCCACUUGUGAUCUAAAUUUUGACGACGGGAUAGCUGGAGGUCAGGAAAACUAUUUCGAAAAUGGGUACGUACUUGCAGAUUGCUGGUGAAUGUGACGGUACGUUGUAGUAGAGAAAAUAUAGCAGCGCCUGCCGCUUGAACAGUGGGUUUUCAAACUUUGAAGAAACAGAAGUACUGGAACAGUGCGCGCACGGCACGGACGUACGCGAUGCGUGCAAGCAACGGAACCUGGUACGUACCACGGCAACAGGAGCGGGCUCACUUUGUUUACUGUCGCCCAGGCAUGCAUGAGAGUUGGUGCUACAUGCACCUCGAAGUAAUUGUGGUCGCGUCGGCCAAGAUGAACCUCGCCUCCUAUUUAUUUGCCAAGAUGGAACUGCAUCGCCAUUCUGGGUUGAUGAGCGCGCACCUGGAAGUGCCGUGCGUACUGCCUAGUAUCUAUUUUCUGUACACUGUUAGCAUGAUGCUGUAGACACUGAACAUUGCUGUUGAUUUGCAGUAGGCACUGACUGAACAUUGCUGAACUGAAGCCCUGCGCACCUAACCCAACCCGGUUUUGGCCUGCAUGUGUAUAAUAUGCUGUAGCGAACGUAUGUACGUAGAGGACGCGCGUUGGUUGGUUGGUUGGCCGGGGUCCGCGACAGGAACCGAAGCCAUUGAUUGUAUCUCUACUCCGCUGUAGUGUAGCGAGCGUGCGUGCGUACGUACGCAGCCAGCCGUGUAUUCGGCUGGGUAAUGAACCCCCUCCCCGUCGUACGUCCACGUCCGCUACUGCAACCACUAAGGCAGCUACGUCUGACUGACCUAUCCGCAGCAUUGCCCGUCUGUCCAGCACUGUAUGGCUACGCGCGUGGCCCGCACGCAGACAGCGGGAGGAAAACCAGGCGAGACGAUGGGACGAUGGUCCGAUGAUAGCACCGUCUCAACUCCCACGACGGAUGGUAGUAUACACUGUAUACUGCGUGGUGAACCUGAACCUGGAAGGCAAGGAAGGAGGCGGGGGCGCGCGCCGUAGCCCGUAGGUGGUGGCAUGGCCGUGGCGAUGGCGACGGCGACGAUGCGCAGGGGAGGACGCGUCUGGCACAGUCUUCUCCGCAGGCCCGGGAGCGACCGACCGCGACGCGCCCGUGGCCACCGUCGUCUCGUCGUCGUCGUCGUCGUCUGGCCCGUGAUCGAGGCGGAAUCAUCGGGUCGAUGGGGCCUUCGAGUUUUGGCGAUUUCCUCCUAGCUCGCCUUGGCAGCCGGCCAGCCUGUGCCCUCUGGUCGAUCGGUGUCACGUACGCUUACAUUCCGUUGUGGGGUUUACGGAUUUUGUUGGUAUAUACUCCUACAUUGCCACGCUACGUCGGGCCUCGAUCGAGUUCCUGCACAAGGCCUCAACAUAUAUCUACCAUUCUUAAAAAGUUGCUCCCUACUUCUCCCUAUUCUGUCAACAUGCAGCCCGUCCACAUCAUCAUCUAGCCAUGUCAGCAAUUCCUCCUGAUUUUCCUCGUCUAUUUCACCUUAACUAUCGCGAGCAUGAGUGCAAUAGAUAAUUAGCAAAAAACUGAACGCAAGCGUCCAUGCGUCCCUUGCUUGCCAUGCAUAAUAAACGAUACUCCCUCCGUCUAGGUGUGUAAGUCACAUUAGAAGGUGCAUCGCGACCUAGGUGCAAGCUGAUUGGAAGAGAAGAAAAUUUGGACUGGUUCUCCUUCCAAUCAAACUGCAGAUUUCUUUCUUCUAAACGUAGCAUUUAAUCGUAGCAAUUAAGAGGAUGAUGUUUUAGCUACCCACGCAGGCCCACGUACUUCUAGCAUGCAAAGCCGCUUUAAUUUAUUGCCUAAUCAACGCAUAGACGUGCUGCAUGCAUUGGCCAUUACCUGAGAAAAAAACAGGAGAAAAUGAGUUUUCGCUGGAAGAUAAUGAGGCAUAGGAGGCAAAGCUCGCUGGCGAACAAGACCGGGAGGGAAUCGAGACGGAAAAUUGAUGAACGGCGCCUAAACGUUUUGGGAAAACCUGAUUUUCGUAAGGUGACUUACACACCUAGACGGAGGGAGUAAUCAAAACUUGGAUGCGUUGGUUUCACAGAUAUAGCCAUUAAUAUAGAAAACUGCUAACUAUGUACACAGGACAUGAAUAAGGAAAUUGCUUUGACUAAUGAGAACAGUUUAAUACUCCGACGACUAGGUUCCUUCGUCUUCCUGAAGGAAUAAAUCUCCAAGGGUUCCCUACAAAAAUCCCAACUGAUUCUCCCAUAUAUAUAUCUCUACCCCCCUCUCAUACUGUGCCGCCGCCGGCCAUGGGUCCAUAGACGUUGGAGUCCCGCAAACUGCUGCCAUAAUACUUGAAUGUGUAUGCCCCUGGUUUGUUCACAUCCGCAGUCGAACACCACGUCGAGUGGCACCGUCCACUCGAACGCGACAACCCGCACCCUUCUGGCCGGUCAGAUCUCCGAUGAGCACUACUACUCGCAAAUCAGCUGGCACUGGUCGUGAUCUUCCGACUCACGUCCGGUACACUCCCAAGAAAGGCGCCAUCCUGGUGGUGAUUCCGGACCAGUACAUGGUCGUCGAGCGCUUCUGCAGUGCUCGCCACGGCCUCCACCGCUUCUCGGCGCGAACGCCGACGCCGGGUACGCCUACGCGUGGGUGGGUGAUGCCGAGCGCGAGUGCCCCGGCCAGUGCUCGGGUAUGCCCAAUAGUUUAUGGACUGGUAUUGCACUGAAAGAGUGUCAGGUUCUCUUACCUUCUACUCAUGUGCUCAUGUAUUUUUAUGCAAUGGAAAACAUAGUGAUUUUUUAAUCAAGUACUUCCUCCGUAAACUAAUAUAAAAGUGUUUACAUCACUAAAAUAGUGAUCUAAACGUUCUUAUAUUAGUUUACAGAGGGAGUAUAUUGGAUGCAUGCCAUCAUUCUAUUUUUGUUCAUGAAAUGCUUCCAUGGAUUUUCAAGGAGAUUACCCGACGCUUCUAUUUUUGUUCUCUUAUCUGCUAGCGAAGGCUUGAGAUCUGCUAGCGAAGGAUUGACAAUUUGUCCCUAGGCUCCCCCGAGUCGCCUACCCGCGCCGCCGGCGGACCUCCCCCCACCCCAUCCCCUGCUUCGCCGCCGCCGGAGGGGACGCGGGCUAAGCCGCGCGUACUCCAGGGAUGGUGGCGGCGGGGCUCUCACGGCUGGCGUUCUCGCGGAUCCGAGGCGGCGGCCUCUGCUCAGGCGGACGGUGGGCGUCGGUAGCAGCGCCACGCGACGGAUGCCGCUCGGUGGUCGGCGCUGAGCGCGGAUCUGGGUCGCCCUGCGCGAGGUGAGGGCGCCCGGAGCUCUGCUCGGCCUCGGGGCCGCGGUGCCGGCCUCCGUGCUCCGGUGGUCCACCUUGGGUCGCGCGGCGGCGUCCUGCCCAUGGCCUCGCCUCCUGAUGGUUCUGGGCCAGCCGCGGUUCGCGUUGGGGGUGGAUCUUGAGGCUUGGUGGUGAUGUGUUUCGCUGGACUGGCUGAAUCCGAUUGGAUCGGCCCAUGGUCGUCCGGCUUGGGGCAGAGGAGGGUGGUGGCGGCUCGCUGCUGGAAGCUAGGCUGUGUGCUGUAGGUGGGGGUGGCUGCGUGGAGGAGGGGUGGUGGGCGGUGGAGGUGCUGCAACAGCAAGGUUCGAUCCCCCCGCCUUCAGUCUGCAUUGCGGGCGCUUUGGAUCUGGCCUCCCGCAGGCGUGCGGUGGCGCGCGUGGGGCGCGUCGGCGUGCCUGAUGUAUGACUGUAGCCCGGAACCAUGGUGGUUCUUGGCCUCGGGCAGCGCCCCUCUGCUCCUUGCCUGCAUGGUGCUUGGUGGGGCACGGUGGCUCACGUUGCGUCCGGUGGCUCUGCGUCCGGCCGGCCAUUGGUGGAUCUGGCGUCGAGUGCUGAGUUUGGACGUCGGUGGUCUCCGCGAGGUGCGGCUGGCUGAGGCGGUUCGUCGUGCUUCUUCAUCGUUGGAGGGUUCGACGGCAGUGGUGGUCGGCUGCCGUCUUGCUGUAGGGAUGUGCUCAAACUCCGGGUGAGAACCCUGCAUCGGCUCUGUUGAUGCCGGCGGCAGCAGCGUCUACGGACGUCGUUUUUCUCGUAGGAGGUGCCAUCGUGGAGCUACAUCACCUACAGUUCUUUGUUUGUGGUCUCCGAGUGAAAACCCAAGAUCGGGCUUGCCGGAUCGGAUGACGGUGUUGUGUGCUCGACAACACUACCUCCUUGGAGGCGUCGUCUUGGAGACCCAAACAACGGCUUCUGUUGCUGUGUGUGGUGAUGUGUGGUGCGUUUGGUGGUGGUGGUGCGGCCUGCUCAGGACUGAGGGUGGUGUGUUCUUCUUCAGGUGUUUCUCUUCGACUGUCCUACGUGUGGUCUCCGGCCUGCUACUAUGCAUGCUCAUGACCCUGUUCUGUUGAGGCGAGCCUCGGGCUCUUGGUCUCGUCUUGGUUCACCUUUGCUCAAUGAUGACGCAAUGACGCCUCCCCGACUUGCUAAUCGUCUUGAACUUCCGUGACAGAGCGCUCAGUCAAGGUUCGUGUUAGUUUUGGCACAAGGUUCGUGUUAAGCUUUGGCACUCGUUGAUUGUGGAUGCUCCUCUGUUGUGCCGUGGGGUUUGAUACGCACGCCGGUGCGGUGCGUUAGGCUGUUUAUAGAGUCUUGGUAUUGUGAUCCCUCGACGCACCCCUCAUCUACCUGGUCCUGUUAGUAUGCUAGCUAGGUCUUGCCUUAUGUUGGGCGUCAUGUUCCUCUCCUUUCCUUAUAACACUUGUUACUUGUCUGGUUUUUGGCUUGGUUUUCCUCAUAAACGGGGUCAAUUUGUUAAGGUUUUCGAUCCGGUUUUCCUUAUAAACUGGAUCACUCUUCUAGCAUUAUGGCCACUUUGAGCAAUAUAUUCAGGUGGAGGGACUCCUCCCCCGGUGAUUCUAAAAAAAAGGGGGGGAUUAUCUUUAUAUCUUCCUAAGUGACUUGCAGCUAGCAAUGCUGGAUUGGUAUCUAUACCUUUUUUUGCAACGAGGUAACUAUGCACUAACUCUUUUUGUAUGAUGAUUGGUUGUUAAUGUUAUACACUAAUAUUGGAUUGAUUUUUUUCUGCCAUAGUAUGCUGCUUGCCAGCCGUUUCUACACUGGAGCACCUUCAGUCAUUUGUGCACCUACAGAUGUGUAAUCCAGAUUAUAUAUGUUUGAUAUUUUUCGACAAAACUGUAAUCUUAAUUUUAAGUGACACCAUUAGUUCAAUGGCAAAAUCUGUCCGAGCAUUUUAUAUGCCUUAGGUAUUGUGACAGGAUUAAUGUAAAUACUUUUGCCUCUCUUCAUAGCCGUCUUAAAUCACCACAUUAGUUCUCAUAAUGACCAGUAACAUCUUAUUGCAGAGGUUACAUCUUCUUCAAGUUUACUAGUGAUUGAGGCGCCAUCAUGUGGCGUCGCUUAAGAGAAAGCUGUGUCCACGUUUUCAUUUAAAGAAAAUACAUAGAGUCCUCGAGUCCUCGCCUCCUUCUAAAAAACAUGUCAAAAAAAAUAUCCUCACCUUCAUCUAAAAAAAGGUAAACAAGAAAAAAGAAAAAAAAAUACCACAACAACCUACCAGCGAGUGCCACUUUGCAUAAUCAACCAUUUAAAAAAAUACCAGAGGUCCUCAUCUUCAUCUAAAAAAAUACAUUUAAAAAAUGAUCCAUGCCUUCAUCUAAAAAAAAUUGCAAAAGAUUUCUUACGUGGCCAACCAGCUUGCGCCACGUGGCAUAGCUGGUUGGCUGCCCUUCAUGUGUAGCUUAAUGGUUUGCAAAAGCUUUCUCACCGCGGCCAACUAGCUUGCGCCACGUGGCAUAGCUGGUUGGCCGUCCUUCACGCGUAGCUUAAUGGUUUGUAAAAACUUUCUCACCACGGCCAACCAGCUUGCGCCAUGUGGCAUAGCUGGUUGACCGGCCUUCACACGUACCUUAAUGGUUUUAAUGCGGGGCUUAAAGGGAGAGCGCUGAGUUACAUAACAAUCUUGCAUUAUUAUACCCGUGGAGUAUCACUAUGAUAGUACCUUACAUCCUUGUGGUUGGUGUAGCAUCUUAUGCUUAGGUAGUUGGUAGUUACUCGCUUGGAAAAUUAUAUUAUGUUCUGUAUAUACUUCACCGGUGGUCAGUAGAAAAUAAUAAGACAUGCAUUUUGAGGUUCUAAUGUUUGUGAUCCUGAACCUGAAUAUUCUCUAUAAUUAUAUUAUGUUUUAGAGAUUGCUUCCGCUUAAGAUUUUCCAUGCGCAUUAUAGCCGCUUUUUACAAAUUCCCGCCGCAACGCGCGGGGUAUCUUUUAGUGUACCUAGGGAUGAAACCAGAGCGGAAACGAGCGGAACUAGACGCUAUCAAUUUUUUUUUACAAAAGCAAAAAUGAAUACAGAAAUGCGGAAAAUAGAUUACUAUCGAAAACAAACACAGGGCGAAUACAAUGCGGAAACGGCAACAAAAACAGGUGCUUAGAGCAUCUACAUCCGGGCGUCUCAAACCCGCCUCAUACACUCGGGCAGGCCGCGGGGUCAUGAUUUUUUGACCCAGACGGGCUCCUUAAACAGGCCUCAAACGUCUGGACUGACCGACACCCUUCAUAUCCAGCCCAAAUAUGGGGUGGAUAUGGGGGUGCCCGGUCGCAUCCGCCACGUAGGACUGACGAAGGGGUCCCACGCGGACUCGCCCGAAAACCCAGCGGUUCGACGGAUGCCUCCUCCGUCGCCGCGGUGUGAAUGCCGCGUGGCGCCGCUCUGGCUCGCCGCCCAAGACCAAAUCCGCUUAUUUAACCCAGCCGGCGUCCCGCAACUCUAGCCCAUCCACCUCCCCCCUCUUCGCGCCGCCAGUACGAGUCCAUCCACCUCCUCCCUCUCCCCCUCCGUCGCUCUGCCCAUGCUCCGGCGCUCCGCCAUCGUCCGGAGGAAGAUCACCUACUACGCAAUGCUCAUGCCGGAGUGUCGGUACGAGAUCCAGCAGGAGAUCCGGGCGAUACAAGCCGCGCGCCGCCCGCAUCGCUGCCGGGUUGCCUCCGGACUCGCCGGAGCUGGAGGAAGAGGAAGAGGAGAGAGAGGAGCUGGCUCCGAUGGAGGUGGAGGAGGCGGAGCAGCCGAAGCCGAAACUGCCGGAGCAAGAGCUGCCUGGCUUCAACAUGGAGCAGGCGGAGGCGGAGUUCGCCGCCGCCGCCCAAUUGGAGGAGAUGGCAGAGCAGCAGGCCAUCUUGGAGUCCAUCCAAGAUGAGACCUAUGUGGAGGCCAACCGGGCGUUCCUCCGGCAGGAGCAGGCGGCGUCCGACGCGCUCUUUGCCGAACUCGACACAGAGAUAGAGGAGGAGGAGGCCGGAGCGGAGCAGCUGGAGGCGCCGAAAGAGCCGGAGCUACAGCUGCCGUCCAUGCUGCCGGAGCUGGGCACGGAGAUCGUUGGCAUCUCCGACGAGGAGUAGCUAGGUGAUCAACGUAGUACGUAGGUUUAUUUCGUUUGCAUGUCUUUGUAUGAAUUUAAGAAUCUAGUAUGAGAUGUCCAGAUGCAACUCGUAUUUGAGGGUCAUAUUGGACAUAUCCAGCUGCAGAUGCUCUUAUGUUCCGCUGUGGGUGGGGUUUACGGAUUUUGCUGUACGUCCGGCCUCGAUCGAGUUCCCGCACAAGCGCCAACAUGGACGUGCUGCUGCUCGGUGCGUAGCGCGUACGCACUCGACCAAGAUCGCGAUGCGUCCACCGCCGAUCGAUGAUGCAGCGCAUGUCCGUCCGUUGGAAGCUCACGGAACCGGGUGGUCACCGCGCUGGUCGGCUGCUGUCCCCGCCCUGCCGCGCCCGUGCAGGAGUUGAAUUGUCGAGAGCUUGUGAGAGAUCGUACGUACUCCUACAUGAUUUCCAUGCGAUGAGGUGAGAAUGAGAUCGAUCCCUGUGUAUGGCCCAAAUAGGACCUGAGCAGAGCAUAGAUCCACAUCCACCCACCCAUGCAUCGUACUCACGCACGGAUCAGAGUAAAUGGCCAUCACAGGACAGAGGCCGCGGGAUUUAAUCCUCCUCCGAUCCAGGGCCCGUGGAUCGGUGGAUGAGCCAAGGACACCACCAUCAUCACCACUAGGGCAGCAUCAACUUCUCUUCUGGACUUCGGACCGUACGAGGCUGCACAUGCUCAUCAGCCUCCUCCGUGCUACCGCUAGGGUACCACAUACUGCUGCUGCUGAUGAUGGUGAAGAGCUCCAUCAGUGGUAAAUUUGACAUUUUUGACCUAUAAUCGAAAGCAAAUCACAGAAUGAACUGGUUCCGAAACUAUUUCACACCCCUAACCCUUUUGUGUAGCGCCCGCCACGCCGGCGCCACACCCUACGGUGCAGCGCCUAGCUCCGGGGCGUUGCACCACUGUCCACCGUGGCAGCCCACGGGCCCGCACCCAGCCGUGCAACGCCUCCGAGCUAGGCGCUGCACCUGUAAUGUGCAGCGCCUAGCCGCUAGGCGUUGCACGUGUAAUGUGCAGCGCCUAGCCGCUAGGCGCUGCACUGUGACUUAUAUGCAAACGCGCCAGCCCUCUCCUCCCCCACCCUCCCCAUUGGCAGUUACAGAAAAAAGGGCGGCGGCCAUCUGCACUCCCCCUCUCAAUCCCCUCUCCCAAAUCCUUCCGAUCCGACGAUUUGGUCCGUGCAUUUGUUCACCAAUUCAUCGUAGAAGGUACUCUCCUCCGAUCCCCUUCUUUCUAUCCAUAGAAAAUAUUAUGUUUUGAAGAUUUGGGGAACCCUUGUUUGAAUCUUGCAUGUAUUAGAUUUGGGCAACUUUUGUUUGAAUCUUGCGUAUAUUAGAUUUGGGGAACCUUUGUUAGAUUAGAAUGUGGUUUGGAUAGAUAGGUUGACAUGUUAUUUAUAUAGUUUGGAUACAUAGAUUGACAUGUUUUUUGUAUGGAGAAGUAGAUUGACAUGUUAUUUGUAUGGAGAAGUAGAUUGACAUGUUAUAGUUUGGAUACAUAGAUUGACAUGUUAUUUGUAUGAAGUAGGCCCAAGUAGGGGGAAGCACCAUAUGCUUUGGAUCUUGCAUGUAGUAGGCCUACUUUAGUUUUUUUGAAUUGAAAAGAUAAUCGUGUUGACAAGAAAGCUUUGUUGAAAUUGUUAGGAUGGUUUGGCUUCUCGAUGAUCACUGGGACCAUCAACACCGGUCGUACGCUAUGGCGGUGCAACAGCGGGUAAUACUGAAAGUGGCCGGUGUUAUGAAUUUCGUAUGUUUGUUCAAACACAAAUGCCCCAUAUGUAAUGUUAUGAUUUGUUUGUUUGUAGGAGCUUGCACCUCUGAAGCUUCGGUCUCACGGGAUCAGCCUUGGAGGGAUGAGCUAUGAUGAGCGGUACACACCUUAUGUUAGGGAGGCAGGACUUCUCCCUUUUAUUGAGUUGGUCCGCCGGUCGACGCCACCCAACAAUGCUGCAGCACUCACCGCGCUUAUUGAUCAUUGGAGGCCGGAGACACACACUUUCCAUCUUCGGACCGGGGAGAUGACCGUGACGCUGCAGGAUAUCGCUAUGAUCACCGGUCUUCCUAUCGAUGGCAAUCUUUUAUGUAUGAACACCGAUUUUGAAGGGUGGCGCGCGCAGAUGCAAGCCCUUAUCGGUAUGGUUCCUUCGGAGCCUCGGGAGCCAGAAAGGGAAGAUAAGAAGAAGGAAAGAGUCGCAGCGGGCGCUACUUUCACGUGGAUAUCAUCGCACUUCGCUCAUUGCCCCGAUGAUGCUAAUGAGGACAUGGUGAAGACUUAUGCUCGUGUCUACAUGUGGUACGUGGUAUCGAGGACAAUGUUUGCUGAUGGCACCGGCAAGAAUGCUCCAUGGAUGUGGCUGAAGGCGUUGACCGUCUUCGAUAGCAAAUGGAGUUGGGUUCGGCGACACUAGCUUACUUGUAUCGACAGGUAUGAAGUUGUUUCCUUUUCACUUCAUUGAUACAUUAUCAAUGCGCUCUUGCGGCAAAUUUGACCAUGUUCUUUUUUAUGUGCAGUUGGACGAUGCCAGUUGUAGGCACACUGGAGGUAUUGGUGGUUGUCUGCUCGCACUUUCCAUAUGGAGCUGGGAGCGUUUGCCGGUUGGACGACCUAAGACCGUGAAGUACGGGGAUUGGGACGAUAAAGACGACCCACUACGGCUCCCCACUUGGGCUUACAAGUGGGAUGUGUUAAAUGAGACGACGGAUGAUCCCUCUAUAAUGUACAAGUUGUACAAGAGCGAGCUGGACGCGAUCACGCCUGAGCAGGUGAACCGACCUUGCAUAAGUGAUUAUCAUGCUUGUAUCUUCACUCGAUAUCAAUUUUGCAUUCAAUCCCAUUUUGCAGGUGGAAUGGGAGCCGUAUGGAAAAGGAGAGAGUUUUGGUAACCCUAUAGAGUUCAGGCUUAAUCCGAUGUGCAUUAGGGAUAGGGAUCUCUGGCAUAUGCGGUGCCCACUGAUAUGCAACUGGGCGGUUGAGCUUCACCUGCCACAUCGGGUGUUCCGCCAGUUUGGUUUGUUCCAGUCACACCCGCCGGAGUGGGAGGACACGGACAAGUUGCUACACGCGUAAGAUAUAAUUAACCUUGAGCACUUAGCAGCUUCUCGACGGUUUCGAUGAUGUUAAUAUCUUGUUUCUAACUUGCAGGUUGGAUAGGAAAAAGCAGCGGAAGAUCAAGGAUUGGGCCAGCCAUCACAGGAAGUAUGUCGUGCAGUUCGCUCUUAGUGUGGAGCAAGCAAGGGCUGGAAAACGAGCCCAGCUUCGUGAGCACUGCCCGGAUGCGUUCAACAACUAUCUCACAUGGUUUCUUGCAAGUACCCGCGUGGAGGUAUGCCAGCCGGCGUAUGCUGAGGAGAUUCUGGAGGAACCCACCGUUUUUGAUGAGGUAGCCCAGCACCAGUACAACGCAUUAGUCAGGAAAGGCAACUCGGUGAUCCGAGUCCGAUGCAUAUGCACGGGAAAAAGGGAUGGAAUGGUCCAUUGUCUCUUGCAAAUGAUAUUUGUCGAGAUCACCCACAUUGUUGUCAUGGAGAUCAACUUCAUUGUCAUCAUCUGCAUACUCAUCGUUGUCCUCUUGCAAAGAUUCAUCUUGGUUGUUUCUACACGGGCUCAAUGUUGGCCUCACUUCUUGGGUCAAAAAAGGUUCUACAAUUUCAUCUUGCUUCAAGGGUGGGGGGCUACGAGCAACCAAAGGGGAGGGGUUCCGGUUCAAGUCCAAUUGCAAACUUGACUCAACCUUCUUCGUUGCAAAUAACUCAAGAGCCUUGUCUAGUGAUUCGGCCACCGUCUCCUUGUAUGCAACCCAACGUUGCUCCGAGUUUACACGCAUUGUCUUCCAACGGAUGUGCAUUCCAAAACCAACAUUAUGCCUUCCCUCCAACUCAAUGAUAUCACUAGGGUCCAUCCAAUUCAAAUCUUUCCUAACUUGUUGCAAGAGCUCCGCAUAGCUAGGACUACUAUCAAACACAAUGUCAAGCUCAUCCGGGUCCGGUUCUUUAUUGCCUUUCAAAAAGGCGUCUUUGUCCCCAUGAUGAACAAACACACAUGUUCUUCCCAUCCCUAUAAGCAAUGAACACAAGGUAACAUUGCUUCCAUAAGUACUAAUCCAUGGAUUAACACCGAAUACAAACCCUAAUAUAUAUAUAAAACAACAACCCUAACCCUAACCAUAACCCUAACCCUAAACCUAACCCUAACCAUAACCCUAGCCCUAAACCUAAACCUAGCACCAACAUAAGAACACCCAUAAGAAUAAUCCUAGCAUACUAACAAAACCUAAUCAUAUAAAUUGGCAAACAAACAUCUCACAUCUCCAUGCAAAUCUCUAGAUCCAAACUAAACUAGGGUUUCCCCAAACUACCAACAAAUGAGCAAUGGGAGAACUUUACUUCGAUCAAAACAAGGGGAUCGGAGAUUAUUACCUUGAGGGAGGGUUUGACUUCGAAAUCCACAGACAAAUUCUUCAAAUUUGCANNNNNNNNNNNNNNNNNNNNNNNNNNNNNNNNNNNNNNNNNNNNNNNNNNNNNNNNNNNNNNNNNNNNNNNNNNNNNNNNNNNNNNNNNNNNNNNNNNNNNNNNNNNNNNNNNNNNNNNNNNNNNNNNNNNNNNNNNNNNNNNNNNNNNNNNNNNNNNNNNNNNNNNNNNNNNNNNNNNNNNNNNNNNNNNNNNNNNNNNAGGGGGCAAAGCUCGGGGAGAGAGUGGGAGAGUGUAUGGUGGGGGGGUGGGGGAGGGGGAGGGGGCCCCAGCCAAGUGGCUGGAUAAGUCACAGUGCAGCGCCUAGCGGCUAGGCGCUGCACAUUACACGUGCAACGCCUAGCGGCUAGGCGCUGCACAUUACAGGUGCAGCGCCUAGCUCGGAGGCGUUGCACGGCUGGGUGCAGGCCCGUGGGCUGCCACGGUGGACAGUGGUGCAACGCCCCGGAGCUAGGCGCUGCACCGUAGGGUGUGGCGCCGGCAUGGCGGGCGCUACACAAAAGGGUUAAGGGUGUGAAAUAGUUUCGGAACCAGUUCAUUCUGUGAUUUGCUUUCGAUUAUAGGUCAAAAUUGUCAAAUUUGCCUCCAUCAGUGCCGCAAGAGGAUCAUAGAAUCGAUCGAUCUCCGUAGCAGGCAAGACAAGAUCUCGGUACCAAUUACUGCGAAUCCUGUCAGUUAAUCUUAGUACGGGGGGAAAGUAGGGACGCCACUGCUCAUCUCAUCAUUCGGCUGUCUGUCCGUCUGAUCAUUGGAUUGGAUCAUGGACACCAUCAUCACCACGUAGGGCCUGGUAUGGUGGUACAAGCAGGGUUCAGACUUCCAGAGUUUCAGGCAUGGGAUGCAACAGGGAUAAGUACAUGUACUCCCUCCGUUUCAAAUUACUCGUCGUGGUUUUAGUUUAAAUUUGAACUAAAACCACGACGAGUAAUUUGGAACGGAGGGAGUAGCAGUGAGGCUGGGGUACAUAUAUAGGUGCUGCAAAUUAUAUAACUUAAUCUCACCAAACUACACAUAUGUCCAUAUUAACCUGAUUAUCACAUCAACUUUUCCCACCUUUGAACAAGAAAAGAACAGCACCAUCCCAAACACACUGCCUACACACACUUCUAGGCCUGCUCUACCAGUCAACCAACCCUAACAAAGCCAGCACAGGUCAAAUGUUGCAGCAGCAAAGAACAACCCAACCCAGCCAUACACACUUCUUUGGCCACAAAAAUCAUCUAGACGGCUAAAGCUAGCACGGCGGCAAUAUGAACGAACUUCGUCAGCCUCUCGUUCUUGUGAUGGUGAUGCUGCCCUUCCCCCCUUCGGUGUGGAUCUUCGUCUUGUGGACCACCGGCUUCCCGGAGAUGGCCGAGGCCUCCUGGUACGGCGCGGACGCUUCGUCGAUCUUGUGCUUGAUCCUGUACGAGGGAGGCGCCAGGAUCUUCUGGUUUAUGUCCCUCAGGGUGGUGGCGCCAUGGAAGCCGCACGGCUUGAUGAGCUCGAAUGGGUAGGCCACCGACGCCACUUUCAGCUUCUUUGCUCUGAUGACGCUUCUUCCAGCUGUGAAUCAAUCAGGGAACGAUGUAUGAGCAGCGGACAACGAACUUGCACAGAUUGUGCAGCAGUAUGCAAUCAGUAAACUGUGUGAAACAUAGUUGGUUAAUGGUGCUUUGAUCAAACUGUGGUAGAGUAGGCAAACCUUUCAGAGGUGUAGGUUUAGCUUGCUGAGGUUUCUUCUCAACUUUCAUGAUAGGCUGCUCCUCGAGCUCGACCAACGAAUUCUGAAGAACUGAAACAAAGAGUUCUAGCAUCAGUAGCUUUACAAUUGCGAUAACAAGUGAUGAUUUGUAUACUGGGACCAUUUUACUAACCAGAGAUAUUUACUUCCACAGCAGCACUAGGACUUUUCCUGUCGAGAAGGAUCAGAAACCAUGAGAAACAUAAAUACUUAAAAGAUGGCAGUUAACAGAAAUACUGUUAAGCCAAGCACAAGGUGGACCUCAGUAAAAAAAAACAUACACUUCUUCCGGGGGCGAACGAUUCUCACUAUCUUGUGAGCAAUCAACCAGCCAUUGUUCAGGUAGUUCCUGUGUCCCAUCACACUGUAACAAAUGCUCGUCACCUGCAAUCAGCUCUAGGAUUAGGAUAAAUGGACAAGAAUCAACUCAGUGUAGUACUUCCCAGAGAUGAUGAAAGACCUACUAGAGAAAUCCAAAUCCACUUGCAGAUUUUCCAAGAGCCCAUCUGUCAGAGAACAGUCCAUCUACAUACAAACCAGUACAUAUUGAUGGAGUUAAAUCACCAUUGUAAUGAAUGUAAACAUCAAAUGGACACAGAUUGUUGACAUAAAAAGGUAUUAGUCCAUAGGUAACUCCAUUGCAAGUACCUCAGCAUUGUCUGGACAGAACUGCAGCAUACGUCUUCGUUUAGCUUGCAAGGUUUCCUUUCCUUCAUCAAAGUCCUUGAUAAUAAUAUCUGCAUUGUACUUGCAUAAGGUCACUAAACUUGAAGUGCAUUCUCAGCAUACAAUAAAAUUGUGAUAUUAGAUAGGAUGCCAAUUUCCUUUCACCUCCUUUUUUUUGGCGAAAGGGGUCAGGAAUUACAUGUAAAAUCCAUUGUUAUGACUUCUGGUUAAAGGUUAAAUCAUACUUAGUUCAGUUGCAUUCUAGACAGUUCUAAGUGGUGGUUCAAAUCAAACUUAUUUGAGGGGUACUGCACAAAACAAGUUUCCACAACUGCUAACUACCAUAUGACUAUAUUAUAUCUACUGCUCUGCUUGCAUACAAAAAUGCAACCAAAGACGUGUUUCCAGAUACUUUAUCAUGAAAAAGGAAGUUAUAAAUCAACUACGCAUGGCACGGAUAUAAACAAUGAACAUUUCAAACAAAACAGCGGCUCAAUUCACAUACAGGUAGUAAAACAUACUAGUGACUUCACACUAGAUGCUUAGACAUCCUUCACUGAUAGUACAGUAUGUUAGUGGCCAGAGGUAACCACGAUAUGUUAGUACAGUAUGGUAGUGGUCAGAGGUAACAAUGGUAUGUAAAUGAAAGAGCAUUUUUUUACCUCCUAUAUCACAGAAGGGUAAAUCUAUGUCUGUACAUUCUUUAAUUGGGGUUUGCUCAUCGAACAGGCUCCAAGAAUCAACCUCGUUGUGGUUUGCUUCAGCCCACAGGGAGGUAGAUGGAACUGCGAAAUCAGAAGAAAAAUUCUCAUCAGUUAACCGGAUGCAGUUUUAGGACAGUAGGAAUGGUGAAAAAGCGUGCUGCAAACCUGGUAACAGAUCCUUCUGCAAAUCAAACUCUUGACUCUGCCAGUCCCACAUCUCACUGCACAAAGUUCCACAUCCAAGAGCAUUGUUAGAGAUGAGCAUUCAGGUUUCAACAAUUGCUGAAAUUUUUACAAAAAAUAACGAGUAAAAUGCAGAGUACACAUCUUCGAACAGGCUUACUACAGAACAACAACUGCAACUUGAACAUUUCAAUGUUUUCCCUCAGGAAAAUGUAAAAUUCCCCAAGUUUAUCUGAAUAAAUGGUGAAAAACUCAACUAGUGUACUGGCAGUCUGGCACAUUUCAAUGUUUUCCUUUUCUUCCGAGAUACCAUAAUGUUCAGGAACCUAAGACCGCUGCCCGCUGUAUCAAGCGCAAACAAUUUGCAGAAAAACAAAAUCUAACAGCGCAAUGGUAACUCGCAGUAAAAAAAAAGGAAACCUUUGAGGAUUAGGAAAGUUCGGGCAUUCACAUCAAGAAACAGCCUGGCAUGGGCGAAACAGAGGCAGGAGAAAUGGAAGGAGGCCAUGAACAGCAGCUAGCUAGGGUUUAACAGCAAAAGACAAGACCAACACCAACACACACACGGCCAUCCCUAACCGCAACCAACCGCAGUACGGCACAAAAGAGGAAAUUAAAAGCCUCCGUCAAAAGAAGGCAUGAUCCUUUAUUUCUCUCCCAGAAUUGGAAGUCUUUUCCCAAACAUCAUACGAGGACGAAAAGAUCAAGAGGAUGAUGAGGACGGAAAAGGGCGGUACUAGCAGCGCGCCAGCGCCGCACCCAACCAAGAAGUAACCGCCGUACCGAGAAAGCGAAAUUAGGGCGGCUCAAUCAGCCGACGAGGACAGGAUUAGAGCCCGAAGAAGAAACAAAUCGCGACUCCGCGGCAACCAACAACAAAAAAAGCACCCCGCUUUUUCUCCGACCGCGCCGUCGCGCCGUACGGUGGUUGGCGAGGAUCAAGAAGCCGGACGGAGGAGGAGGUGGACGGAGACGCACCUCUGAUCGCCAAUGCCGCCGUCGAAGUCCAUCAUCCCCCGCGGCGGGGCGGAUCCGAGGCCGGCCGGCGCCGCCGCUCUACGGGACGGCGAAAGGGGGAGAAAGGCGGAGAAAGAAAGGGACCGGAGGGAGGCGAAGUGGGGAGCGGGUGGAGAGGGACGGAGGAAGGAAGGAACUGGAGACUGGAGAGUGGGCGCAGUGGUGGUGGUGGUGGUGGUGGGAACAGUUUAUCCCUCUCUCUCUCACAGUCACCGCUCCCUCGUGCUUCUCUCGACGCCCAAAGGGAAGGAAGGGCCCCCGUCCGUCCCCGAGAAAACAAAGCUUGCGCCUUUAUUGCUGCUGCCCCUCCUCCUCCUCUCGCCCUCCAACGUGACCGCUCAAGGGGGCGCGGAGGCCGAGGACUGAGAAGACGAUGAUUAUCCUAUGACUAAUUGGGCUAUUCGGGCGACCGCCACGGAUCAGUGGCGAGUACUGAUUAAUUCAGGGCAGUUGCAGGUUAGGCUGCCCGGAGGGAGGCUUGUGGCGGAAGGAAGGGGAGAGAGAAACCGUGCGGCGCACAUUGUACGUACUCCGUGGUCGUACCACGGCGGAACCGGUGGCAUGUGUGCGCCGUGCCUCGGCCGACGACCGUGCCCGGGUGCACCACCGGCAAUUCCUUUCUUUUUUCAAUAAAUUCUUCCAUUACUCAGAGUUUAAAUGUUACAGCUUCGUUCCAAAAGUUCCAUGACCUUUUUUUUUCGUUUCCAGAAGUUCCAUGACCUUGUCCGGUUCAGAGCCUAGCCAAAACCAUAGUCCGGCGAUGCACCCUAUCAAAACUAGGCAAGGCAUAAUGACUCCUUGUUAUGUGAACAUUUCAAGUUUCGUCUUAAUCUUUACUUUCGUGUGGAGCGUACAAAAAGAACAUAAGCUCAAACUUUUUCGCCACAGCCUAAAAAUGGUUUUAGCUCCUCGCACUAAGGAUGGAAAACACAAUUUAAGAAUGGUUCCUCCUCCGUUGGGCGAUGUGGCGCUCACGUCGAUCGCCUCGUGCACGAACCAAAUGACUAUGUGUAUCCCACCAGCGCUCUUCUUUCGCGAACUUUCUUCCCCUUCAGGCCGAAGCUUCCUCGGUGUAUAUCGCUCCACUCGGCCAAAAGAUGUUGUGCUGGCGUCGGUUACCUUCCCGACAAAGCUUCCUCAACGCCUAACGCUCCCCCCGGGCAGACGUUGUUGUGCUGGCGUCGGUUACUUUCCCGACGAAGCUUCCUUGGCGCCUAACGCUCCCCUCGGCCACACGAUGUUGUGCUGGCGUCCGUUACCUUCCCAACGAAGCUUCCUGGACGCCUAACGCUCCCCUCAGCCAGAUGGUGUUGUGUUGGCGUCGGUUACCUUCCUGACGAAGCUUCCUUGGCGCCUAACGCUCCCCUCAGCCAGACGUUGUUGUGCUGGCGUCAGUUACUUUCCUGAGGAAGCUUCCUUGGCGCUUAACGCUCCCCUCGGCCAGACGUUGUUGUGCUGGCGUCAGUUACUUUCCCAACGAAGCUUCCUUGGCGCCUAACGCUCCCACGAUGUUGUGCUGACGCCCGUUACCUUUCCGACGAAGCUUCCUCCGCACAUAACACUCCCCUCAGCCACACGAUGUUGUGCUGGUGUCCCUUACUGUCGGUGCCAAAACCGACAGACCUCGGGGGUAGGGGGUCCCGAGCUUUGGAUCUCGGACAAAUGGUAACAAGAACAGAGAGACAAUGUUUUACCCAGGUUUGGGCCCUCUUCAUGGAGGUAAAACCCUACGUCCUGCUCUUGUUUAUAUUAAUGGAGAUGUAUCAAGUACAACGUUGAUCUACCUCAAGAUCGGUGGUCUUGUUACCAAUUAUCUUACUAUCAAACUAUCUUGUAGCAUUUUGCAGAGAAUACCUUGCUGAAAACGGCCUAUCAAUUCCUUCUGCUCCUCGUUGGGUUCGACACUCUUACUUAUCGAAAGGACUACUGUUGAUCUCCUGUAUUUGUGGGUCAUCAGUGAUCAAGUUUUCCUCAAGCUUCAACCUUAUGCUCAGUCUAGUGUUUCUCAUUGAGCAAAUAAUAAGCUUGAUUUUAAGUACUAUGGGCCUUAUCAAAUCAUUUCAAGUAGGCAGUGUUGCUUAUCGACUUGCUCUUCCAAGUGAUAGUCGCAUUCAUCCGGUCUUUCACGUUUCUCAACUCAAGAAGGUCGUUGCUCCUAUGGUUCAGGUGUAAUCUUCCUUGGCAUCUUCAAUUGCUUAUCUUAAGUUCCCGUUGCAUGUGUUGCAGCGUCAGAUUCGUCAGUAGGGAAUCACACUAUUCCCCAAGUGGAGUGGAGCCAAGGUGAGCCAGAAGCUACUACUCGGGAAGAUCAUGACUCGCUGAAGCAGCGAUUUCUGCGUGCACCGGCUUGAGGAAAAUCCGUUUCUCAAGAUGGGGGNNNNNNNNNNNNNNNNNNNNNNNNNNNNNNNNNNNNNNNNNNNNNNNNNNNNNNNNNNNNNNNNNNNNNNNNNNNNNNNNNNNNNNNNNNNNNNNNNNNNNNNNNNNNNNNNNNNNNNNNNNNNNNNNNNNNNNNNNNNNNNNNNNNNNNNNNNNNNNNNNNNNNNNNNNNNNNNNNNNNNNNNNNNNNNNNNNNNNNNNNNNNNNNNNNNNNNNNNNNNNNNNNNACAAGGCGGGAACAUAAGAAGAGGAGGUGAUUCAAGAUAUGGGUUAGGAGACUUCAAGGCCGCCCCGAGCCAAAUGUUUACCGGCGUGGUUAACCGAUCCGAAUUGGGUCAAACGAGCCUUGUAAUAUAAAUACUGCACACCUUAUCCUAUAGGAGGUAAGAAGGAACGGAUGGACGGCUCUCGCCGAAUUCUUCUAUAGGCUUCUAGUUGUGAGGCUGGUUUGGUGGAACAACUAAAUUCAAAUUCGCCAUGGUUUCCAUUUUCCUAGCUCGAGUGACUUAAGAGGAGAGGGAACCUCACAGGAAGAGAUUUGUUCCUUUGAAUCAAUGGGAAAGAAAAACUCAAUGAUUCACGGGUUCCCGGAAACAGAGGAAUACAGAAAAUAUAGGAUUUGUACUGUCAUGUCUUUUGAUGUGUACAUGAUUUCAGUUUGCUUAAUUUCAUAAUAGAAAAACAACUAGUUCUUUCCAAAUUGUUUGAGUGGACGAUAAAUUUCCUAUGAAAUACAUGACUCGAUCCUAGAAAUCAAGUUUCUAAGGAAUCUAAUCCUUCAAAAAUAAUAUGAAAAACUUUAAAUCAAAGAGGCCAUCAAUGUUACUUGGAACUUGGAAAUGUAAAAAACAUUCGUGAAAUUUCGGCCAUACAUGACCUAUGCUUUGGCCUUGUUACGAAAAGUUUGGUAGUAAGAAUAUUUACUUCUACAUAGUACCUGCAUCCGAAAUGGAGUUCAUAAAGUCAAGGUUCGGAUUCUCUUUCAAUAUUCCUCCAACUAUCACAAUUUGAAAAUUUGGAUCCUUCAGAUCUAUGCUUCUCUUCAUCGACGACGUUGGUCCUGUGAAGACUUAACACAAGGACUCGUGACUGUCUAGUACAAUAUGAUUUGCCCGACUCCAAUAAGGGAGGGGCGAUAAUGGCGGCGUGCCUUCGGUCCGUCUAGUGUUUGUAAUUGUCGUUACAUGGACGUAGUUUUUACUUUUGGCGUUCUUUGUAGAUCAAAAGUUAAAAAUUUAUCACAAUUAGACAGUUCGAGUAUAUGUGCAUUCAGCGUCGUCCUUUACUUCUUUCUUUAUAGCGCGAAACGCUCGUCGUAUUUCUCCUGUGGAAAUCGGGCUUCAUUUUUUAAUACGACGACGUGCAGGAUCUAGCGGCGUGAUUGGAUCAGCGAAAACAACAUGAGCGGCAAUAAAUGCAUUAAUUAUUAAUCAACCAUGAAAGAAAGACGCGAGAUCGACGGAGUCGAAUAAAUGGGAUACUCGAGGCUUCAUGUGACUCGUGGCACUCAUUGAUUGAGAUAGAUCUCCCCCUCGCCAUCCCUCACGCGGACGCCUCGCCCGCCACUGACGCGCGGGACCCCAGUGGUGAGGCCCACCUGUCGGGGACAACCUCGUAACCCUAUCCAGGCCACCGUGUCACGAGGAGAAGCGGUGGCCGGAGUUAAAGCGGCGGCCCGGGCAUCUUCUCUUCCGAGAAAAAACAGAAAAAGAUGGGCUGGGCCGCACCUGCGCUGCACAUGGGGGGCAACGGCGCCAUGGCCAACAACAGAAAAUUCGGAGAAUGUCAGCCCCGUCUGAUUCGUCGGGGGAGAUAACGUUUGUCUAUGCGACGGGAUGGGGUUAGCCGGUUGGGUCUAGGAUAAAAGAUGGUUAGCUGUGUGAUUUACGCUGCUGCGUGUACAGUACAGCGCGGCCCUUGAUCCGUCCUUGUCCUGUGUGUAAACUGGUGGCGGUCAAACAGAUGGGGUAAGUCGGAUUUGGAUCUCGAUCUACUACUGCACUGCACUGCCCACUGGUUUACGGAUCUGGAGGGGUGAAGGAGGGAGGGAGAGAGCGACCUGCGCGUGUUCGUGGCGACGUCAUACGGAUGCUGCCCCUCGAUCGUCAUUGGAUGGGUGCUCUGGGUGAAGUUUCCGCAUCAACGGACACUGGGUGGGUACUGAGAUGAGAUGGGAUCCGCAUCCGUCUGCUUCUUUGAGUUGAGACUAUUAUUAUGUCACUUGGGCUCCGUCGUCCAGGUGUGUAUAAUGCUGAUUCUGUUCGACCAAAUAAAUUGGUUAGGCCUACUUUGGUUCAUAUAGUAGGAAAUCAUAGGAAUAGAAAAGUCAUAAAAAUGAGAUGACAUGUUUCUCAAAUCCUAUGCGUAGGAAUAGGAAAGGAGAUGUUCCUUGAUUCACAUCAUAGGAUUUUUUUCAUUGAGUCUAGGCUAAUGUUUAUUUUUCUAUGAAAUGUGGUGGAUAAGAAGAAUUCCUUCAUAGAAAUAGGAUUCUAUUCCUACAAACCAAAGGACAGUAAAGAAAUUUUUCCUACAUAAAUCCUAUCCUAUAAAAUCCCUAUAAAAUUCCUCCAAACCCAAGAAGGCCUUAGUUUUGAGCAAUCUGUCGAAACUCUCGACCAUCUAAUACUAAUAGUACAUGUUUUCAGCAUUCUGAUUAUAACAAUCUAAUUGUGUUACUCCCUUCGUGUGUCAAAAACGCUUUUAUAUCAUGAGAUGGAGGGCGUAGUUAACGUAAGGCUAUUUGCACGGGAAACAUCAUGCUUCCUCUGUCCAGGACGUUUUAGAUCACUAUAAUACUAGUGUAUGAUACUAUCUUUAUAGGGCAUAGUAUCAUACUUUCUUCGUCCAUGAAUAAGUAUAUGUUUGACAUCCAAAAUUUAUUCACAAAAAGUGUAAUUCUAUCUUUCCAAUGCACUUUAAAGUAGAAAAAAAUGCUUCUCUCAUUACACGGUAAUCAAGACCAAUAACAUUCAACACAUUGUCUCCUCACUUUCUACAUCCACUUAGGCCCCUCCCAGUGCUCCAUCUUGUACAUGUGCUAAGCCUGCCAUAUAGACGAAAAACCUGAUGUGGCAAGUUAAUUAAGAGUAGAGAGAUGAGUGGUGAUACCAGGAUUCCAGGAAGAACAAUGCCAAGCGCGUGAACCUAGGUAAAACAUUUAAAUGAAAGAAGCCCAACACUGCAUGGAGAAUUUUAGUUGCUAAAUCAUUAAAGGAAGGGAGCUUAGCUACAAGAAGCUAAGCACAUAUGCAUUGAGAAGUAUAGUUGCUAACCUAUUUAAUGUGGUUAGCACCUCAUCUAAGCACCGGUGCAUUGGCAGUAGUCUUAGCUCAUUGGAGGUGAGGUAAUUAAAGAAGAGAGAGAUGGUAGCUUCCCUCUCGAGCGAGAUAGACACAUGAGCGCCGCUUCCCCUGGACGAUCCCGCGCCCGACGCGGCCCCGCGGCUUUCCCCGCAUCCUCCCGACCUUCUGAGCCUGUGCCGCUCGACUCAGCCGCCUCUGCUGCCCGAGCUCGGCGCCCACCUCUCGCCUCUGUUGUCCGAGGAGGAAGAAGACAAGUCAAUGUCGUACAUGGUAGUUCUUUUGUUCGCCAACUCAGCCCAUGGGCAGGCCGGGCCAAUUUGUGACAUCAAAGUCAUUAGAAUUUAUCUUUAGUGUUUUUUGUCAGUGUCAAUUUUUUGGUGUGGUGCAAAGUGCACCAAUUUCCAAAUUGGUGUUUUUCUGCUAACCGCGUAGCAAAUGUGGUGGUCCUGUGCUUUUUACUCCAUGGUGGGAGUAUCAUGCAUGUCAACUGGGCAAUUGUUCAUACUCAUAGGGUUGAGUAUUAUAUUAUGAUACCAUAUUAUCAUAAUAAGUUAUAUGCUACUCCCUCCGCCCGGGUUUAUUAGGCCUCUCAGCGUCACAAGCAUGUAGACUAGGGGGAGGAGGUCGGUGUGUGAGCUACUGGGAAGAACCGUACGACGUUGUGCUCGAAAGGAGCCAAGGGCAGUUGUCAAAAGAGCUCUCUCGCAUAGGGUGGCGAGACCUCUUGCCCAGCUCCACGCAUGCCUCCACACCUUGAUCUUGUCGACAUCGAGUUGUCCUGGGCGUCUAUUCACUGCCUUCCCUCAGAAGGCGGGUAAGGAGGGACGGGGCGGAGGAGGAGGGAGCAACACGUGACGGCUACGGUGCCACGCAAGACCUAGUAGAUAUGCCCAUGUGGAGGAGGAAGGAGACCUAGCCAACAUGCCCAUGUGGCAGUGUUAUUUUCUAACUCAGCACAAUGGGUGGGCCCGGGCAGUUAGUGAUAUCAGCGAAGUGCUUAACAUUACCAUCAGUUCUUUCUGCUAGUGUCAAUUUUUUCGCUGCGGUGAAAAGUGCACCAAUUUUUGUUUUGAGAAAUAAGUGCACCAAUUUAUAAAGUGGUGGUUUUGUACUAGCCGCGAAUGUGAUAACAAUUGUUAUGUGCUUUUUACUGCCCACCGCGGGUGCUAAAUAAGAAAAAUCUGAGAUAAAGAUAGAUACAAUGAAUCUCUAGAAAAAUUGCAAACAAAAUUGAACACAACCAGGAGUAUGUCAUGCCGACGAAAUCGCAAACACAAAAAGUGAUUUCUCCCCAAAAAAUACAUAGAAAAUGAAUGACCCUAAAUGUUUCCUUCUGGUGAAUUUCCAAAAUACUCAGUAGCAACAAAACAUGUCCUUCUUGAGAUCAAACUGUCGAAGCAUGUGGAUGUUAUAUUAUGAUGCCGUUUCGAAACGACCGGCCAAACUUGUCGUACCCUAUCAGAGCUGCUAGUGCCUAAAACAUAUUAUUGUGAUUCAUUUUAGCAACUAAGUAAUGCACCUGAGGAAAAUAAUACUAAGCCGUACAGCAGCCAAACCAACAACACUCCCACUGAUAGCUCACGGAGUCACGGUUCUGACUGAACUCAGUCAGCACGCUACAAGAAGACAUGUCGACAAAGACGAAAUAUUCCAAUAGCCCGUUCCCGUCUAACAACAACAGGCUUAUACUAAGAGUAAUAAUAAUAAGAUAAUCCAAUCAAAGCAGCAGGCUCAUGUUAGGAAAUCUCAACAGUAAUCGCUCGAAUACCCAUGCAGCGGCAACACAAAACUAAUCCUCCCCAACACCGUGUGCCCAACGUACACGGGACAGAACGGACUGUCGGCAAAGCAAAGCGAAACCAAACACACAGAAAGCUUCGAGGAACUAAAACAAUCACAAAUCAUUGGGAGUACUAAAAAGACAGUACUGGAUAGGUGGAUAUAUUAAGGGAUGGAUAAACGAGUCAUGACAGGCCAAAGUACCCAAACGGCACUAAACAAAAGCCCCCCUAAUGUCCUUCAGCUAUGGCAUGGGGCCAGAGCCUCACAAGUUCUUUUUAGACUUUCAUUCGUUCAUGUGCUCUCUAAUGAUGGAUCAGAGUCUUGUAGACCGACAACGAGCAGGACUUUCGACGGCUUCUUCUAGGC
This 59708-nucleotide long non-coding RNA is filed under the name Triticum aestivum (bread wheat). Its description in RNAcentral is "long non-coding RNA (TAES_LNC000676)". The record is from RNAcentral. Lineage: Eukaryota; Viridiplantae; Streptophyta; Magnoliopsida; Poales; Poaceae.